AGCAAGUGUGGGAGCAGUGGAGGCACUCAAGGAUCAGGGCUUUUGCAGAUGGAAUUACACCAUGAGGUCUAUUCACCAGCAUGCCAAGACCAACCUCAGGUCCUUUUCUCGGGCCAAGAAGCUCUCUUCUUCCUCUUCUGCCAUGGUUUCUAGCAGAGUGAGAGAUGAGAAGGCAAAGCAGUCAGAGGAGUCCUUGAGGACUGUCAUGUACCUGAGCUGCUGGGGGCCCAACUGAGGAAUAAGAUCUGGCCGGGUAUGAAGAUGAUGAUCAUCCUACCACUGAAUCAUCCAUGGAGGGCAUAUCCCAAGAAAGUGAUGAGAACAAUCUUAGUUCCCUACUUCGCUCUCUCAAGCUAAGAGCCUCUCUUCUUUUUCUUCUUCUUCUGAUAAGACGGGUGCAAACAAUGGCGGGGAAGAUGAGAAAAGGAAGAAGAAGACACAGAAAACAUUGGGAAAAGUCAUGUACUUGAGCUCCUGAGUCCCCCGUGAAGCAAUGGAUAGAGAUUUUGGGACGUGAUGCAAGAGUGAAAAAUUUGUAGAGAACCGCAGAUAGAUAUGAUGAUAUUGAUUUCAAUGUGUACUUCCAAAAAAAUGAUAUCAAAUUUCAGAUUUAUUAUCAUAAUAUUGUGUUGCCUUUCAUCAUUUUUGCCAUGGGAGUUGUUGGUUUUCGAGAGGGUUAGAAACUAAUUCUAUUUCGGAAAAAAGGAAUCACCAUCUUUGAGCAGUUCGAAAUUGCCCAGAUCUAAAAAAGACCUCGAUAAAAUAUAAAAAUGUUGCGCAGCUUGAGAUAUUUUUGUUCAUGAUUUGAUAGUCAUUUUUAAAAACGUUUUUAUUAUUUUUAAUAUUUAAAUGACAUAUAUUAAAAAAUUAAAAUUUUUUUUUCAAUUACUAAACAUUUCCUAAAAUUAUUACCUUUUAAUACUUCUUGAGCCCUCUCCUAUACUUCUUUUUCUCAAACAGUCUUUCUCAAUUCCGUCCUCGAUCUGAAAGAAUUUUAGCUUCUUUGAGUCUUACAAAAUAGAACAAUCAAAGCAAGAUCCGUCAUUUAGACACUAGGCUCAAAGGUUUCAUUAACAAACGAUACACCCCGACAAUCAUUUCUCCUCUUAUGAGUCAAAUUCAUAAUUUUACCUAUUAUUAGACAUUUCAAUUAAAAAUGAUGAAUAAGUGAUAUAAGUGAUAUAGUUAAAUUAAAUCUUUUAUGAUAUUUGAUAUCUUAUAUUAAAAAUUAGUUGACUUAUUACACUUUUAUUUGGGUUUUAAAAAGGGAAAAUUGUUUUGGACCCAACUGGUCCAAAAAUUAACAUUUGGUCCAUGUAACUUCCAUAAUUGAUAGAAAUGUUAUAAAAGGUUAAAAGACCAAUAUAUCUUUCAAAUUUCUAUAUAUAUUACUUUUUAAGGGUAUAAAAUAGUGAUGGACUAAAAUACCCUAUGACCUUUGACAUAAGUUUUUUUUUUCUUUAUUGCACCACUAUUCAUGCAACCAUAAUAAUUAUAUUUUAACAAUUUAGAUUUUUCAUUGUUUUUAAUUUUUUUUAUAAAUAAUUGAAAAUCAGCAUUAUUUUCUAUUUUAAAUUAUAAAUAAAGAAAAAUUAUGUUCAAAAACUAUUUUAAAAAACACUUUCUAAAAAAAUGGUAAUAUGAUUUAUAUUUUCUAUAUUUUCUUUUUGAAAAAACAUUUAAUUAAAAAAUGAAAAUUAUUUUUAAAAAUAAAAAUUGAAAACCUUGUUUAGUACUAUUUUUUUAUAUGAAAAUAAUAAAAAGAAUUAAAUUUCAUUCCUUGAUUAUCUAUUUUUAUUUUUUUUCCAUUAGUUAUUUUAAUAAUAAAAUAUAAAAAAUAUAAUAUGUUUACAAUUAAACAAAGAAAUUGAUCAAUUAUGUGUUUUUUGUGGGAAUAUCUUUUACAUGAAAAAUAAUUAAAUAACUAAAUUAUAUAUAUAUAUAUAUAUAUUACUCUUUUUAAUUUUAUUUUCUUUAUUUAUUUUUUGUCUAUUAGAAAAUUUUAAUAUAUCCAUAAUUAACAAAGUAAUAAAUCAAUUGUGCAUAUUUUAAUCUAUUAAAAUAAAUUAAUUUCUAAUUUAAAUAAAUAAAAUGAAAUAAGUAAAUAAAUUUAGGGUUAUUUCUAUUUUUUAACAUAUCUUAAAUUAAUAUUUUUUAUGGUUAAAUAAUUUUUUUUAAUUCCAAAAAUAAAAUUAAAUAAAUAAAUAAAUUUUAUAUUUUCUAACUGAUCUUAUAUUCAUAUUUCUUAUGGUUAAAUAUAUUUUUUAUUUUUUUCUUUAUUUUAAAAAAUAAAAGGAAAUAAAAAAAUAAACUUGGCUUAAAUAAUAGUUUUUAAUUAAUUUCUUUGUCUUAUUUUUAAUUACAUUUUGCAUUGAAAAUAAAAUAAAAUAACGUUUUAUUUGUUUUAAUUAUUUUAAAUGUCAAACUAUUAGGAACAUAGUUUACACACUCAUGUGGAUAUAAUUUAUACAUAUAUAUAUGAAGUUUAUACCAUUAUACAAAGUUAUUACACUAAUUAUAUAAGGGGUGUACAAAAUUGUACAUUUUGAACAACUUUCUUUUUUUUUUCUUGUCAUCUGAGAAUUAUACGUUCUCCUACCACAAAUUCAUAUAACAAUUCAAAUACUUACCUUAAUAAUGAUGUUUAGAGAAAUUUUUUUUUUUUUACGUUUUAUAUCAUUUUUUAAAUCAAACCAUUGGAAACAUGGUUCACACAUCAUAUGUGACAUAUAAUAUAUGCAUAUGGAUGAAAUUUGCAUCAUUGUACAAGGGUGUUAUACUAACUAUACAAGGUAAAUGUUCAAUUGGACAAGACAAAUAUUCUAACUAUAUAAAACAAAUGUUCUAACUCUACAAGGGGUAUACAAGGCUAUCAUUUGUGAAAGAUUUUAAUUAAUUUUGGACAAUUUUUUUUUUUUUUUUUGUCUUGUCAUCUAAGGAUUGCACACUUUUAAGGUACACAUUCCUCUAUUACACAUUCAUCUUAUACACUUUAUUUAACUCGCACAUGAUAAUUCGAAUACUUAUCCUAUUAAUGAUGUUUGAGAGAAAAUUUUGUUUUUCCAUCUUCCACUAUUUUUUGAAACAAACCAAUGAAAACAUGGUUAAACUACCUAUGAUUACACGUUAAGUAGAGGGUAUAAUGAAUUUGAGUCACUGUACAAAAUAUUUACACUAAGUGUACAUGACAAAUAUACUAAUUGUACAAGGGUGUACAAGACUAUUAUUUGUGAAGGAAUUUGAGUGAUUAUGAAAAACUUGUUUGUUUAUUUCCUCUAACCGAGGAUAAAUGACAUUCCUUACACACAUUGGUUAAACAUACAUUCAUUUCAUGCACUUUAUUUAACUUGUAUAUGGUCAUUUGAAUAGGUACCUCACUUAUGAUGAUUGUAAAACAAAAUUAUACAAUAAUUUUUAUUCUUUUUUAAAACCAAACCAAUGCAAACAUGGUUAACCGACCUAUUGUCAUAUAUUCAUGAGAUAAUGUAUAAAAUUUGAGUUAUUGUAUAAGGGUAUUACACUAACUGUACAAGACAAAUUUACUAAUCGUACAAGGGUAUACAAGACGCUUUUUGUUAAGAAUUUUAAGUGAUUUUGAAAAACUUUCUCAUUUGUUUCCACUCAAAGAUUUUUUUCCCCACUCAAAUUCUCUCACUCAAGAAUUGUUUCGAAUUUUAUUUUUAAAUUUUAUCAACAAAAUUUUGUAAUUGCAUAUUUUGUUUUUAUAGUUUUAGCAAUGUUCUUUCUUUCCACUUUUUUUUUUUGUGAAAUUUUAUCCAAAUGAAUCUAUAUUUAAAAUUAUAAUCAUAUUUAUCAAAUUUUUUACUAAGAUUAUCUUUAAUUCUUUUAAUAUAUUUAUAUUCAUUUAUUUAAAAAAUAAAAAACUAAUUUUUUUUUUGUAAACAUGUUCUAUUACCUUUCAAGAAUUAGAUAAGUUUGAAAGUCAAUAAAAAUAAUUAAAUACCACUUUCAAUAAUUUUUAGAUAAAAUUUUAUAUAAUAUAUUUUAUUUGAAAUUUAAUUUCUAAAGUUUAACUAAAAAAUUAUAUUUACAAUUUUUUUGUUGUGAGUCAAAAUACUUUACAUUAGUCUAUUUAGAUAAGAAAAAUUAUUAAUAUAAUAUUAGAAUUUUGUAUCUUAGUUAUUUUUUUCAAUAAAUUUAUCUUUUUAAAAAUUUUAAAAUAAAAACAUUAAAAAUUAAAAGCUAAAAGGAGAUAUAUAUAUAUAUAUAUAUAUAAUAAAGUGAAGUGAUAGUCAAUUUUUAAAUUUUUUAAAAUAUGGUUAAUAUAGAAAAUAUAAAAAAUAAUUAAAAAUAAGAAAAAAAUAUAAAUGAAAGGGUAAUAUAAAUUUAAAAUAAAAAUUAAAAAUUAAACUAAAAGAUAAAAAAAAUAUUUGGAUGAAAAAUCCCAAAAUUUUUAUCAUUGCUUAUAAUAAAAGCAAAAAGAUUCAAUAUCUUUAAAAAUGAAAAACAAACUUUUUAUUUGACAUAAAAUAGAAAUAUAGAUCGGAAGAAAAAGAAAAAAAAUUAGAAAUGAGUAAUACUUUAUAGGGAAUAGAAAAGGGAAAAAAAACACAAAAAAAAAUUAAAAUUCAUAUUUACUUGUGCCUAUGUAAGAGUUAAAGGUAUUUUAGGGAUUAAUAAAAAAUAAUAUCCUUCAUCUUAAUUUUCAUACUUUGUUUGGGUCUUGGAUUUAAAUAUGUAUGAUAUAUGAACUAAAUGUUAAUUUUUGGAUUCGGCUGAACCCAAAACACGAUUCUCCUUUUUAAUAAAAUCCUAUUAUGUAUUAUUCAUUCAUUGAAUAUGGUAGCUUAACAAUUAUUAGAGGUUUAAUAUAAUAUUGAAAUUUGUUCACGUUUUUUGUUAGGCGAGCUCACAGAAUUUAAGUCGAAUUGGCUUUUAGAUUGCCGCUUUGGAAACCAGCGGUUUCACUCCUUUUUUGGCGACUGCCACCAUGAUAAUACUUGGUUGACCAUGCAUGUGGGUGAAAACCCAAUCAUGCCCACAUCUAACUCCCUUUAGCAUUACAAAUCCAAGAACAAAGUAGUCAUUCCAAUUCAAAAGCAAACAAAGCCAUGAAUACUGCUGGCCACAGCCUCUGGUUUUUCGUAAACUUAGGGCACCAAAUCCAAACCCAUCUCUUUCCUAUAAAACCAACCCACCUUCACUUCAUCUUCUUCAUCACAACCCAAAACACUUUGAUUUACAGAGAGAUAUUCAAUAUCCCAUUCACUACUCAGUAUCAGUUCUUUUACUGUUGAUUGUUGUUUGAGUUUUGGAGGAAGAAAAUUAAGAAGAUGAGUCAUAUGGGGAAAGCUUGGAUAGUGGCAGCAAGCGUGGGAGCAGUGGAGGCACUCAAGGAUCAGGGCUUCUGCAGAUGGAAUUACACUAUGAGGUCUAUUCACCAGCAUGCCAGGAACAGCCUCAGGUCUUUUUCUCAGGUCAAGAAGCUCUCUUCCUCUUCCGCCAUGGUUUCUAGCAGAGUGAGAGACGAGAAAGCAAAGCAAUCAGAGGAGUCUCUGAGGACUGUCAUGUACCUGAGCUGCUGGGGACCCAACUGAGGAAGCAGAUCUGGAUAUGAAGAUGAUGAUCAUCCUACCACUGAAUCUUCCAUGGAGGGCAUAUCCCAAGAAAGUGAUAAGAACAAUCUUAGGCCCCUCUCUCAAGCUAGGAGCCUCUCUUCUUCUUCUUCCUAUAAGAUGGGUGUGAAGAGUAGUGGGGAAGAUGAGAAAAGGAAGAAGAAGACACAGAAAACAUUGGGGAAAGUCAUGCACUAGAGCUCCUGGGUCCCCAGUGGAGCAAUGGAUACAGAUUUUGCGGUGCAAUAUAAGAGUAAAAAUUUUGUAGACAACUGCAGAAAGAUGUGAUGAUCUUCAUGCGUACUUCAAAAAAAUGAAAUCAGAUAUCAGAUUUAUUAUCAUAAUAUUGUGUUGCCUUUUAUCAUUUUUUGCCAUGGGAUCACUAUCUUUGUUGGUUUUGAUUGAAUUUGAGCUUUAGCAGAUGGAGCAAUCAAGAGUUUGAAGCAAAAAGCACUUAAGAUCCACCUUCAGUGCAAUAUAUUUUGUUUUGAAUUGAUUGUGCAGGCAUUGUUCACCCCACAAUCCCUUCCUCCUCUCAGUCAAACUCAUAACUAUGGCUUGGCUCUAAUUUCAAUUCUCAAACAUCUUAACUGAAAAUCAUACUGAUGACUAAUAACAAUAAGUUCAACCUUUUAUGGCCUUUUUUUUUUUUCGGAGUGAUUGUUUGCGUGAUUCAUUUCAGACUUAAAAGAAUGAUGUUAUUGUGCCUAUACACAAAUUUUAUACUCAUGGUUUUAAUAGAAUCCCGUUCACUAUGUGAAAUUAAUAGUUUAAUAUAAUAUUAGAGUUUUAAUAUAUAGUAUUAUUUUAUAUUUUGAAAUUAGUAUUUUAAUAUAAUAUUAAAAUUUGUUCAGAUUUUCUGUUCGUUUUCUUGUUUAUUAAUCUUAUGGUUGGGUUUGAAAAAUGGAAAAUUUGAGAAAAAAAAAUGUGAGAAAAAAUUGAAAAAUAUACUUAAAAUUAAUAAAUUAUUUUUAGAUGCUUCAUUAAAUUUAUUAUAUUUUUAUAAAUUAUAAUUACAUUGAAUAAUUUAAAAAUAUAAAUUUUUUAAAUUAAUUUUAAUGACUUUUUUUUCCUUCUUUAAAAUUUUCAUGAUAAACUAGAAAUUGUAAAAUCAUUUGUGUUUUUUUCACCCUAUGUUGGACUUUUCCGGCCAAAUAUAGCUUAACUUUAGGGUUGUAAUUUGGACAAGUUGAUCGGCCUGAUCAUUGAUGGUCAAUCCAGACUCAAUCCAACCUUAUUUUUAAAAAAUAAAGUUAGUUAGUGGAGUUAAACUCAAAUUGAUUAGAUUAAACUUUAUAUUAAAACUUGGAUUGAUUAGGUUAAAUUUUAUGUUAAAAUUUGGAUUGAUUGGUUUAAAUUUCACCUUAAAAUUUGGAUUGAUUGGGUUAAACUUGAGUUGAUCCAAUUGAUUGAUUGUGUUGUAUAAUUCAAAAUUCAUUAAUAAUAGUUUUUUUUUUAAUUUUAUACAUUUAUACCAAAAUUUAGUUAGUAAUAAGACAAAAUUUCAAACAAUAAUAAUAAUAAUAAUAAUAAUAAUAAUAAUAAUAAACUCAUUUUUUUUUUCAAAAAAUGAAAAAAAUAUACUAAAUGAUCACAAUUUAAUAUUUUUCUUUAAAAUUUUAAAAAUAAAUAAAUAUUAUUAUAUUAGAUAAUAAAUAUUAUAAAAACAUUAAAUUUGGUUUGACUCGGAUUAUAGCCUAAAUCUAAUUCAAAUUGAAUUUUGGUUGUGAAAAAACUUAACCCAACCAAAUAUUGGAUUAAGUUGGGUCAACCCGUCAAAGUUAUACCCGUGACUUGUUUGGGCAUCUCACAGAAUUUAGUCAAACAGCUGAAAAUUAAUGGACUCCAGUGGGCAGAGUAAGUAAAGCAAAUUGUUUUGGAUUGCCGCAUUGUCACUUCUGAAACCAGCGGUUUCAGUCCUUUCACCCUUUUAGCAGGAAAACAGGGGGCACACCUCCUGGCAACUGCGACCAUAAUAACACUUAGUCGGGAAUAAAAAUGUAGCUGAAAAACCAAUCAUGCCCAAAUGUAACCUACUUUAGCAUUACAAAUCUAAGGACAAAGUAGUCAUUCCAAUUCAAACCAAACAAACCCAUGAAUACUGCUGGCCACAGCCUCUGGUUUUUGCCAAACGUUGGGCACCAAAUCCAAACCCAUCUAUUGCUAUAUAACCAACCCAUCUUCACUUCAUCUUCUUCAUCACAACACAAACACUUUGAUUUACAGAGAGAUCUUCUAUAUCCUAUUCACUACUCAGAAUCAGUUCUUUUUAUUGUUGAUUGUUGUUUGAGUUUUGGAGAGAGAAUUAAGAUGAGUCAUAUGGGGAAAGCUUGGAUAGUGGCAGCAAGUGUGGGAGCAGUGGAGGCACUCAAGGACCAGGGCUUCUGCAGAUGGAAUUACACUCUGAGGUCUAUUCACCAGCAUGCCAAGAACAACCUCAGGUCCUUUUCUCAGGCCAAGAAGCUCUCUUCUUCCUCUUCCGCCAUGGUUUCUAGCAGAGUGAGAGACGAGAAGGCCAAGCAAUCAGAGGAGUCUCUGAGGACCGUCAUGUACUUGAGCUGCUGGGGACCCAACUGAGGAAGAAGAUAUGAAGAUGGAUGAUCACCAGCAUACUAGUGAAGCAUCGAUGGAGGGCAUAUUCCAAGAAAGUGAUACGAACAACUUAGUUCCCUCUUUCAAGCUAAGAGCCUCUCUUCUUCUUCUCCUCCUUAUUCUUAUAAGAUGGAGGUGAAUAGUGGCGGAGAAGGUGAGAAAAGGAAGAAGACACAGAAAGUAAUGGGGAAAGUCGUGGGCUUGAGCUCCUGCGGUCCCAGUGAAGCAAUGGAUAGAGAUUUUGAGGUGUAACAUAAGAGUAAACAUUUUGUAGAGAUCUGCAGAUAGAUAAGAUGAUUUUAAUGUGUACUUAAAAAAAUGAAAUAAGAUUUCAGAUUUAUCAUCAUAAUAUUUGUGCCAUGGGACUAUCUUGGUUAGUUUUUUAGAGGGUUAAAAACUAAUUCUACUUUGGAAGAAAGGAAUCACCUUCAAAUUAAGCCAUCUUUCGAGCAGUUUGGAAAAACCCUUAUCUAAUAAAGACCUCUAUAAAGUACAAAAAGGUUGUGCUUUUACCAUAAAAAAGGUUGUUUCAAGCCCGAGAACAUCAGAAAUCAUCAUGCCAAGGUUGAUAGAGUUGCUAACAUACAGAUAAGAAAUUUUACCCAAAAAAAUAAAAUAAAAAAAUUAAAGCUUUGUCUUGAAAAGUCUCUCAAAUUCAGAUUCAUUUUUGGAAGAAGAAUAAGAGAUAUCUAAGUGAAGUGAGGGGUUCGUGGACAGGAAAUUUAAGAUAUUUUAAUAAUCCAAUAGUUUUAUUUGAUUUUUAUCAUAGUAUAAUAAAAUAAUUCUCUUUUAUUUGUGGAUGUAAGUUAAUCAAAACAUGUUAAGAUCUCGUGUAUUUUUGUGUGAAUUAUUUUAUUUUUACAUUCUAAAAUUAAUAUUUUUGUAUUAAAGCUUACAUUGAUACCAAAGCUAUGUUGAAGAUUUGUAAAAGAACAAAAAAAAAAAAAAAAAUAGUACACAAAAAAAAUGAUAAAAUGAAUUUUAAUUGAAAGUGAAGUUGAUUGUUUCCAAAACAUGAUACAAAAAAUAUGUUAUGAAAAGAUGAAAAAUUAACUUAAUGGAAUUUGAUGUCGAGAUUGUUCAAGAGUGCCUUAAAUUCUUAUUAAUAUUGAUUGAUUUUUAUAAGGAAUAUUGUAUAUAAUAUAUUUUAAGUUAAUAUAUUAUUAUAAUAUUAGAUUUCUUUAUUCAGUAAAGAAAGUUAUUAAAAAUAUUUUUAUAAAUAUUUUAAAUCUUAUAAGAUGAAGAUUAACUUGUAAAAAUUAUAUGAGAUGGAUAAAGAUGUAUAAAAAAAAUGAAAGAUAUCUUGAAUGAUGUAGUGAAAUGAUUCUCUCAUUCGCAUAUAUAGGCAUGAUUCAUCGAAUCAUAUUAAAACCUCAUGUAUUUUCCGGUGGAUUGUUUUAUUUUUAUGUUUUUAAACCAAUAUGUUUGUGUUAAGAUUUUCCCUUACCCAACACCUUCAACCCUCUCUUUUAUUUAUUUUUUUCAUUAUAUUUAUAAAGAGGUUUAUCCAAAGAUCUCAAUCCCUUGUCCUCAUCUUACCGUCUUUGAUCUAUCCGAGGAAUUUUAGUUUCUUUGGUAAUGAUUAAUUUUGAAUCUUACAAAACAAAACAAUCAAAAGUUUGAAACAAAGCAAGAUGCAUCAUUUAGACAAUUGGUUCAAAGGCUUCAUGAUAGACGUUACAUCCCAACAGUCAUUUAUGCUCUUAUAAGUCAAAUUCAUAAUCCAAUGUAUUAUUAGUUCAUUAUGUGAAAUUAAUAACUCAGCUAACAUUAGAGGUUUCAUAAAACACUAGAAUUUGUUCACAUUUUUGUUAGGUGAGCUCACAGAAUUCAAGUCCAAUUGGCAACUACUCCAAAAGUGAAUGUUAUUGAACUCCAAUAAGCAACUUGUUUUAGACUGCCGCAUUGUGGCUUUGGAAACCAGCGGUUUCACUCCUUUCACUCCUUUAGCAGGAAAACAGGGGACACAUCUUUGGCAGCUGCCACCAUGAUAAUUCUUAGUAGGGACCACACAAGUGGGUGAAAACCCAAUCAUACCCACAUCUAACUCCCCUUAGCAUUACAAAUCCAAGGACAAAGUAGUCAUUCCAAUUCAAACCAAACAAACCCAUGAAUACUGCUGGCCACAGCCUCUGGUUUUUUCCUAAAGUUUGGGCACCAAAUCCAAACCCAUCUCUUUUCUAUAAAACCAACCCACCUUCACUUCUUCUUCUUCAUCACAACACAAACACUUUGAUCUACAGAGAGAUCUUCAAAAUCCCAUUCACUACUCAAAUCGGUUCUUUUUAUUGUUGAUUGUUGUUUGAGUUUGGAGAAAGAAAAUUAAGAAGAUGAGUCAUAUGAGGAAAGCUUGGAUAGUGGCAGCAAGUGUGGGAGCAGUGGAGGCACUCAAGGACCAGGGCUUCUGCAGAUGGAAUUACACUAUGAGGUCUAUUCACCAGCAUGCCAAGAACAACCUCAGGUCCUUUUCUCAGGCCAAGAAGCUCUCUUCUUCCUCUUCUGCCAUGGUUUCUAGCAGAGUGAGAGAUGAGAAGGCAAAGCAGUCAGAGGAGUCUCUGAGGACUGUCAUGUACUUGAGCUGCUGGGGACCCAACUGAGGAAGAAGAUAUGAAGAUGGAUGAUCACCAGCCUACAGCGAAGCAUCCAUGGAGGGCAUAUUCCAAGAAAGUGAUAACUCAUAAGUGGAGUGGAGAUCAGUUUCAUGGAAUUUUUCCUAGAAGACAAACAAGGUGGAAAUCCAGAAAUUAAUUAGAACCAACUGCUAAUAGUUGGCGUCUCUGAGUUAGGAAUUUGUUAGCAAAAGGCAGCUUUGGUAUAUAUACUAAUAUACGAGAUGAUUUCAAUGUAUAUUUGAAAUAGAAAUUAGAUUUAUUAUCAAAACGAUUGCGUUGUCUCGUCUUUUAUAUUUUCCAGAUCCAAACAGAUCCUAAAGGCCCUAAAAUUUUUGUUGUAUCAUUUUUAUGCUAAAAAAUUACACAUAGAAAAAUUAACUAAAUCAUAAGUAGCUUCUAACCAUGAAUUGUUUUUUUUUUUUUAAGCCUAUAAAUUUUAUGCUUUAGAUACAUGCAUUAAAAAUCUAUCUAAACCAUAUAUAAUUAUUUUAAUGCAGUUAUAUAACUGAUAAAAAUAGAAAUAAAUUUAAUAAAUAUAAAAUAAUAAAAUAUUAGGAUAAGUAUUGAAGAUCAAUUUUCAGUCUUCAAACUUAAUCGAACUUGAAAGUGGAUGGCGAUGGAUACAAUGAUUUGAGCCAGGUCUUAAAUCUUUAACUUAAUGGAGCAAUUAUUGUAAUCUACUUAAUAAUUGGUCAGUAUAAAAUUAAAUAAUAAUAAAAGGAGAAAGAAAAGGACACGUGUUUGACGUGGACGUUGCCAAAACAGCGGUUUCAGACAGGCCUUUUACUGCCCGAGCGCCAGUGGAUUAACAAAGAAAACAAUGAGCACAUCAGUGGAAGCGGCACCAGCUACCAAGUAUGCAGCUGAAAUGCCCCUUGGAAUUACAAAUCGAAGGACAAAAGAGUCAUUCCAGACCAACCCAGAAAUACAGCUGACCCCUGCCUCUGGUUUUUCCCCAAACCUUGUGCCUUUCUCUAUCUAUAUAAUCCAGCCCACCUUCUCUCCAUCUUCUUCAUCGCAACACAAACGCUUUGAUUUACUGAGAGAUCUUCCAUAUCAAUUCACUACUGAGAUUGUUGUUUGGGCUUUGAGUUCUUGGGAAAGAAAGUUAAGAAGAUGAGUCAUAUGAGGAAAGCUUGGGUGGUGGCAGCAAGCGUGGGAGCAGUGGAGGCACUCAAGGAUCAGGGCUUCUGCAGAUGGAACUACACUCUGAGGUCUAUUCACCAGCAUGCCAAGAACAACCUCAGGUCCUUUUCUCAGGCCAGGAAGCUCUCUUCUUCCUCUUCUGCAAUGGUUUCUAGCAGAAUGAGAGACGAGAAGGCAAAGCAGUCAGAGGAGUCUCUGAGGACUGUCAUGUACCUGAGCUGCUGGGGACCCAACUGAGACGUUCCACAUUUCGAGUGAUCAAGAAGAAGAUGAUGAUGACGAAAGAUUCAUGGAGGGAGCAUGUGAAGGAAGUCAUGAGAAGGGGAGAUGAAAACCAUUAAUGGAGAAGAGAGAUCCAUCUGUGGAUGAAGGCAGUGGAAAUUUGGAGCCGAGUGAGUCAUGGGUAAUGGUUCUUAUGAGUUGGGAAAUUAUCAGCAAAGUGCUUUCUCAACCUCAGAUGCUUUGGGAGGAAUGGGAAUUUACCAGAAAAUUGCAAGUACAUAUGUAUGAUGCUUUUUAUGCAUAAUUUGUCCGAAAGCAAUAAUAAUCAGAUUAAUUUUCAGCUAUACUUCUUCUGAGAUAUGGAAUUUGUUGGUUCUGAUUUAAUUUCAAUGAAAUUGAUUAUUUUGUAAUUCUAAAGAAAAUUGGAUUAUUCUGUAAAUUCUAUUAUUUUAUUGUUGUAUAAAGGUAAAUUCUUCUAUCAUUUGUUUUGAUAUAUUCAAAAUUAGACACAGAAAUUAAAAAAAAAAAAAAAAAAUCCACUAUUCCAAGCCAACCCGCAGCCCAAGCUGACGGGUGCAUCCAACCAGGUAGCCAUGUUCAGGGAAAACAGCGGUUUCACCCACAUUUUUACUCCUUGCGCAAUGGAAAAAAAAAAAGAAAAGCGAUUAAAGCCCAAAAUGCCCAUGUAUCUCUUCAUUUGCCAUUAGAAGUAUAUGCACAAAACAGUCAUUCCAUCCACCCCUCACCAACCCAAAAAUCCUGGUAACCACAGCCUCUGGUUUUCCCCCACACCUAUGUCUUUUAAACAAUGGGCACACUACUGCCGACUGCCCCUACGCUUACUGCUUACAUUAGUUGAGGAUGAGUGAUGGGGCCAAGGCCAACUAUGUAGGUGAAUUCCCAAUUAUACCCACCUGAAUCCGCCCUCAAUCUGACCAAUCCGAGGACAAACGUAAUAAUCAUUCCAAUUCAGAUCAAGCAAACCCAUGAAAACUGCUGGCCACAGCCUCUGGUUUUUUCCCAAACUUUGGGCACCCGAUCCAAACCUAUCUCUUUCUAUAAAACCAACCCACCUUCACCUCAUCUUCUUCAUCACAACACAAAACACUGGAUUUACAGAGAGAUCUUCAAUAUCCAUUCACUACCCAGAAUCAGGUCUUUUUAUUGUUGAUUGUUGAUUGAGUUUUGGAGAAAGAAAAUUAAGGAGAUGAGUCAUAUGGGGAAAGCCUGGAUAGUGGCAACAAGCAUGGGAGCAGUUGAGGCAUUGAAGGAUCAGGGCUUCUGCAGAUGGAAUUACACUAUGAGGUCACUUCACCAGCAUGCCAAGAACAACCUCAGGUCCUUUUCUCAAGCCAAGAAGCUCUCUUCUUCCUCUUCUGCCAUGGCUUCUAGCAGAGUGAGAGAAGACAAGGCAAAGAAAUCAGAGGAGUCCUUGAGGGCUGUCAUGUACUUGAGCUGUUGGGGACCCAACUGAGACCCACCAAAAAUUAGUAGAGAGUUGUAAACAUGUAUGAUGAUUUUUUUAUGUAUUUUUUUGAAAAAAAAUCAGAUUAGGUAUCAGAAAUUCAGAAUGAUUGUUUUUUGCACUUUGUUUUUACAUGCCAUGGGAUUUGGAGUUGGUUAGUUUUGACUGAGCAUGAAAGGCAGGCCAGGGUUUUAAAGAAUUGAAUCAUUCACUGGAGAUGGAAUCUCUCUCAGAGAAAUCCUUAUUCUCUACAACCUUGGCAAAUGGCAAGCCACUAAGAGGGAAAACACAAAAAAUAAAAAUAAAAUAAAAUAAUAAUAAUUGUAGAGGAGAUAUUUGCCAAUAUAUAAAACUUAUAUUUUUGUAUUAUUAUUGAAUAAAUUAGAUUUUAUCAUACACUUAAAUAAUGGAGAUACAAAUUCAAUAUAAUACUUUUUUUUUGGUUAAUUUUAAAAGGUUUCUAAGGAAAUUAAGUCUUAAUCAAACAACUUUUAUUGAUCUUUUACAAUAUGAAUUUAUCUCUUUAAAAUAAUUUUAAUUUAGCAUUUAAAAUUUUCCGUUGAACUUUUUCACCAAAUGAGAAGUAAAAACGUAACAGAGGAAUGCAGGACUUUAAAGUGAAGUUGUCUUUUUUUGAACAAGCUAACUUUAAGUCUCGUUUUUUAAGAGAACUUUUCAUAGAAUUUGAAUUAUUUAUUUAACGAUAAAUUUUCAUGAUUUUUUUUUUAAAUUUACACCAUUUUGAAAGGGAAACUUGUAUUUUGAUGGAGCAAUUUGGAAAAUAUAUGAUUUUUGGAAUCCAACUUCACGAAAUCUGAAAACUAACUUUUAAUGUGAAAAAUUAUAUAUUUUUCAUGCACUCUAAGUCGGUUGCAUAUUUUUGUGCUAAGAUUAUUUUUAGGUUUAGUGAUUUUCCAAAAUUAUCCUUUUUGUUUUUUUUUUUUUUCUCUUGUACCCAUCAUCUGCCUCUCCCUCCCUCCCCAGUGAAAUUGGUUGGUAUUUUGCCGACGUCAUCACCAACCGCCACCCACACUUCUCUCCCGUUGGCAAUCUCCUCCUUUCUCCAUUUCCUUCCCUCUUUCUCUCUCUCUUUCAUUCCCUUUCGACAUCACCAAGAGAGAAGAAGGCGGUGGCAAUGGUGGAGAACCGGGGUUGGAGGGAAGAAGGUGCGACUGGUUGCCAUUGACGGUGGCAACCAGUAACUCUCGCAGUCAUUGACAACGGUGGUGGUGGAAGCACCUAAGUGGGGAGAGACGUCAAGGAGAGGUGGGAGGGAGGCGGACGAGGGGACCACGUCUUUCCCUACGCUGGUGCUUUCGCCGUCGCCACUGUCAAUAAUCGUGAGAGUUGUUGGUUGCUGUUUGUCGCGCCUUCUUCCCUCUAGCCCUGGUUCUCCACCAUUGCCACUGCCCUCUUCUCUCUUGAUGAUGUCGAAAGGAAAUGAAAGAGAUAAAGAAAGAGGGAAGGGAAUCGGAGAGGGGGAAAUUAAUGAUCGGAGAAAUGUGUGAGUGACGGCCGAUUUCACAAGGGAGGGAGGAAGAGGCGGAUGGUGGUGGGUAUAGGAGGAAAAUAAACAAAAAGGAUCACUUUGGAAAAUCACUAAAUCCAAAGGUAAUCUCGACACAAAAUAUGUAGCCGGUUCAGAGUGCAUGAAAAAUAUAUAAUUUUCCAUAUUGAAAAUUGAAUUUUAGAUUUCAUAAAGUUGGAUUCUAAAAACCAUAUAUUUCUUAAAUUUCCUCAUCAAAACAUAAGUCUGCAUUUUGAAAAGGAAAAACCCAAUGAAAUAUGUUCGUACUUCGUAUAGACCGUGGAGUGGGGUGUGAAAAAAACAAAGAAAUAGACACGUGCUUGAAAUCCGGCCGUGCACAUUACCCCAUUGGAAAACAGCGGUUUCAUCCUCCUUACUCUUUGAGCGUUGAGUGGAUUCACAAACAAAACAAUGGGCACGUACUGCGGACUGCCCCACACCAACACUGAGGGCCAACUAUGUAGGUGAAUACCCAAUUAUACCUACAUGAAUCAGCCGUCAAUCUUACAAAUCCAAGGGCAAAGUAGUCAUUCCAAUUCAAACCAAACCAAGCCAUGAUUCAUGAAAACUGCUGGCCACAGCUCCCGGUUUUUCCCUAACUUUGGGCACCAAAUCCAACCCAUCUCUUGCUAUAUAACCAACCCACCUUCACUUCAUCUUCUUCAUCACAACACAACUACCUUGAUUUACAGAGAGAUCUUCUAUAUCCAUUCACUACUCAGAAUCACCUCUUUCUAUUGUUGAUUGUUGUUUGGGUUUCGGAGAAAGAAAAUUAAGAUGAGUCAUAUGGGGAAAGCUUGGUUAGUGGCAGCAAGUGUGGGAGCAGUGGAGGCACUCAAGGAUCAGGGCUUCUGCAGAUGGAACUACACUCUGAGGUCUAUUCACCAGCAUGCCAAGACCAACCUCAGGUCCUUUGCUCAGGCCAAGAAGCUCUCUUCUUCCUCUUCUGCCAUGGUUUCCAGCAGAGUGAGGGAGGAGAAGGCCAAGCAGUCAGAGGAGUCUCUGAGGACUGUCAUGUACUUGAGCUGCUGGGGACCCAACUGAAGAAGAAGAUAUGAAGAUGGAUGAUCAUCAGCCUGCACUUGAAGCAUCCAGAGAGGGCAUAUUCCAAGAAAGUUAUGGAAAAUUAAGAUGAAGAAACUGCAGUGAAGCAAUUUCAUGGAAUUUUUGCUUGGAGACUCCCGAAUUACAACCAAUUGCUCAGGGUUGGGAAAAUUGGAAUUGCUGUAAAUUGUGACUGGUUCUUUGUAAAACCCAAAUCAUUUAGCUAGAAAUUGAAAAUACAUUUUAAUUUAAUUUAUAGUUUCUCUGUUAGAAUAUUAGACCCAAUUCCUAAAAAGCUUGUCAGUCUUGUAUUAGACCCAAGCUCAAGCGCAUUAAGAAAAAAUAUGGCAGAUUUGGUCACAUAGGGGAUGAAGAGGUGAUAAAGUAGAUACAACGCCCAAAAUUAAACUCUCAAUCAAUUUAAUUGAACAAAUAAUCAUAAAAGAGAUUUUUUAAAUUUAUGAUUUUUGAAAAAGAAAAUUCCAGUGAAAUAUGUUCAUGUAGACUGUGUGGUAGGAUGAAGACUAAACAAAGAAAUGGACACGUGGUUGAAGUCCGGCCCUACACAUUGCCCCAUUGGAAAACAGUGGUUUCAUCCUCCGUACUCUUUGGGCGUUAAGUGGGUUCACAAACCAAACAAUGGGCUGCCUUAACGUGGUGUUUAUUUUUUUACUUAAUUCUAAAUAGAAUCUUAAUAUUUAAUCGUAUUAAAUAUUAGAUUAUUUAUUUUUUAGUAUUUUAUUUUUAUUAAGUAUUAAAAAGUAAAAAAAAUCAUUGUGUUAUUUUUUCUAUUUAGAAAAAAUUAUAUAUUUUGAUUUUUUCUAUUUAGUAAAAAGUUUAUAAUAAGUCAUUAAAAAGUAAAAAAACAAACCAUCUAAAUUCUAAAACUAAAUGAUUUUUAGCAAAAAGCCAAAAAAACAAACACCACUUUAGACUGAGGACAAACUAUGUAGGUGAAUAUCCCAUUAUACCUACAUGAAUCAGUGGUCAAUCUUACAAAUCUAAGGACAGAGUAGUAAUUCCAAUUCAAACCAAACAAAGCUAUGAGAACUGCUGGCCACAGCCUCUGGUUUCCCCAAAACUUUGGGCAGUAUUCCUCAAAGAAUCAAGUGGGCUAGAUUUAACAACUUCGUCCACCAUGGUUAGAUUAUUGGGGGCUAGAGUAAAUAACUUCAUCCACCAUGGUUAGAUUAUUGGUAUCUCGAUGGGAGAAGUUGUUUUGAUGGAAAAACAUUGUAUUUUAUUAUUUUGUAAAUUUUAUCAUCACUCAUAUAUAUUAUUUUUUAUUUAAAAUUAAAUAAAAAAUUAAAAUUCUUAGAAAAUACGAAAAGAAAGUAUAUCACAAUCUUUAUUUUCUAUUCUAAAAUUAAAAAAUAAAAAUAAAAUUAUGAAGAAAAAAGUACAUUCCAACUUACAUUAAUUAAGGGAUGAUAUACUCUGCAAAUAAAAAAUAUAAAAAAUAAUUAAAGGUUAAAUAAAUCACUUAAUAAAUCGGUAGUAGGGGUUGAUGGUUUCAUUAUUAGACUAUAACAAGGAUUUUCAUUUUCAUUUUCUUUUUAAAUGCAUUUCAUGGUGGUGUAGAAUUUUUUUGUAUAAGGGUUUUUAAAUUGUAAUAUAGAUUAUAUAUAUAGUUGUGUUUUGUCCUAAAUUCUGACUUCCAAGUUUUCAACAUUAUAUAAAAAUCCCUAAAAUCACCUACUUCGUACGUUUUCUAACAUUAUAUAAAAAGCCCUGAAUUCACCUAUUAGAAAAAUGUUAUUUGGUGCGCUAUCAUUACCAUGACCUCAACCUCGUGCAAAGAUAUCGAGUGGUUACUAAUAGUAAAAAAUAAAUAAUAAAAACAAAAUAUAUUCAUUAUUAUUAUUAUUAUUAUUUUGUACUUUUACCAUCCAUUAUUCACAUCUUAGCAUAUGAUAGAAAAGAUGAUAAAAGAUUAUUUAUGUUGUAUGAUUUUAAGUGAAAUGAUCAAAAUAUUUAAAGAAAAAAUUAAUAAUUCAUGAAGAAUUUUUGGUAAAUUUAUAAAUUUGUAAUAAAUAUUGAUAAAUGAUAAACAAAGUAGUUUUUAAAGUGGUUGCAGUAGUUAAACAUUGUAUCUUAUUAUGAUUUUCCACCUUCAAAACUUAAUAAUAAAAUUUCAUAACAAAUUUUUAUCUAUUUGAAACUUUUGAAAUGUGGAAUCUUUUCUUGGACAUUUUUAUAUAUACAUUUGUGAAUUUUAUCUUUAUUUUUUAUUUAUAAAAUUAAAGGAUAAAAUUAAAAUGUUAAAAAUAAAAGAGAAGUAUAUCCCAACUUGCAUCAAUUAAGAGAAGAUAUAUAAAGCACAUGAAGAAUGCAAAAAAAAUUAAUGAUAAAAUAAAUCACUUAUUAGAUAGUAUUUAAUGAUUUACAUUAUUAGAUUGUAGAAAUGAGUUAUAUUUUUAUUUUUGUGUAUAGGGGAUUUUAAAUUAUAAUAUAUAUUUUUAUUUUUGAGUUAGUUUUCUUUGUUGAUACAUAGUUUUUUUUUUGUCUUGGAUAUUGUGUUAUCAGCAGUUUUAAAAGAAAUAAAAAUUAUUUAUCCCACAUCGAUUCAAAACUAAAAAUAUUAUAUAUAUUUAUUAAAACUUUGAUACCCUUAAAAAAUACAAGUACAACCAAUAAGCAAGCAUAGGGAUGACAACGGGGCGGGUAUGGGACAUGCCACCCCUACCCCAUUUCCAUCCCGGUUAUAUAUUUUUUUGCCCAUCCCUGUCCCAAACUCGGGGCGGGGCGAGUUGGUGUCCCCCUUACCUGUUUACAAAAGAGCUGAUAAUCUCAUCCCCAUCCCAAAUGUAUUUUCGGGAAUUAUGCUUUUACAAAACAUGGGUCUCUGAAAUUUCAAUAAACGUUAUAUGGGUUAUCAUAAACACAUUUAAUCAAGCAUUUGUUGUGCAACAAAACUACAAACUGCACAUAUGAGAACAAAAUGCACAGAUCUACAAAUAAACAACCCAAAAAAUCUCAAAUCCAUAAACCAAAACCAGAAAAAUAUGAAAAACAAGACAUUCUAACAAAGCCUCAAAACUUAGGGUUUUCUUACCUGGAAAUGAGGAAUCCAUAGAAACCCUAAUAAUUUGUUGUCUACGAAUUUGGUUUUUGGUUUUUAGAGCAAAAAUUGUGCUUUUAGGGUGAAAUGGGAAGAAGCAAUUUAGGAAUAAAUGAGAAAACGGGAAGAAAUGAGAAAACGAAAGGCCUUUUACGAGCAAAAGAACCCUGAGCAAUUUAGGAAGAAAUGAGAAAACGGGAAGAAAUGAGAGCGAAAGCCCUCUAACUCUCUCAUGAGCAAAAUAACCCUAAAACUUGAGGAAGAAAUGAUUAUAUGUGUAGGACUUUUUGGGUAUUUUGUAAUGACAUAAGGGUAAAUUGGUAAUUCACAUACGGGGCGGGGCAGAAACUGCAAAACCCAUCCCUGCCUUAAACCCAAUUCGGGUUUUUAUAUAUUCCCCAAACCCUUUUUAUACCCGAAUAGGAUAUUCUCAUACCCGUCCCAAUAGGGACGGGGCGGGUGACCCGAAUUACCCGGAAAAUUGUCAUUCCUAAGCAAGCAUUGAGCUAAAUCCUAAUCUCACAUUCCUACUUGAAACUUUACACUCACAUAAAAACAACUCACCACUUGACUCGAGGGACUAUUCCGUAACUUCUCACUACCAACAACCAGGCACUAUUCAACCUCUCGCUCACUUAUAAAUUCACUCCCUACCUGCAUAUUCAAAACGUAUCUCACUACUAUUCUACUCUACUAUUCUACUUUUCGUGGUUUCAUAUCUCACUAUUAUUCCACUUUUCGCGGUUUCAUAUCUCACUACUAUUCGCGUGUUCAAAGUGUAUCCCUCCCUGAAUUAAUUGUGAAUUAAUUUAGGCUUCAAAGUGUGUUGCUCUACAAUAUCCCUCCCAGUCAGGCCUCAAAGUAAGAACAACAACAUCUACAAUAUCUGCCAUGGCCACACAACCAAGGCAUGCGGUAUGCCGCAUUUUCUCAUGUCCUUUUCCCAUUUUGUUCCCUCUUUUCAUCUCCAUUUUGUUUUCAAUAUCCCCUUACCUUACUCAUAUUCUCUAAAAUUAGAUAAAAUUAUUAAUUUGAUCAUAUUUAUCUAACAUUUUUAAUUAAUACUACUAGUAUCUUAUUUUCAUAAAUCUAAUUGAAUUUCCUACUUAUUUAUUUAUUGUUUUCAUGACAAAACUUCAUCAACUUUCAUAUCUUUCCUUACAAUUCUGAGUUCAACUGUCCUUGCGAAAUACCAAUAUGAGAAUGUUUCCCCAUUUGCCCAACACAACAUAGGUAUGCAAAUCUCCUUAUUUGCAUCAUUUAUAUAUUUCAUGAUGGUUGUGGUUUAUGAAAUCCUUGAUUCUAAUGGAACUAUCAAAAUUGAAGAAGAUGGAAGAUAUCUCCUUAUUUUGAGUCAUGUUCGGUUCUUAAGUGGAACAGCAGCUGCAACUUUGUUGAUCCUGAUCUUGAUCCCAUAUUUUGGAUGGUUCUUUCUGAUCAUGUGGACCAUGUUCUUAGUGAAAAUAACAUGCUAUUGGGAUAAAACAUUUUAUAACUUUGACAUGUUCAAGAAUAAAAAAAAAUGCCAAUGAUAGGGAAGGAGGACAAGAGGAGCAACGACUCCAAGUUUAGAGUAGGUUUGGUCCAUCAGAGGUUAUUAGCAAAAAACAUAUUUUCUUCUUGUACUUUCGAAAGUGUUAAAUAAGUGUUAUAUUUUGAGUAAUGAGAGUAUUUUUUUCCUUUUUUCUUUUUUUCUAAUACAUUAUUGGUGAUUAUUCUUCGUCGGAAUACCCACAAGGCUAUUAGAUGUUUCAUUGCAAAAUAUGGUUUUAUAUGAUAGCAUUACGAUUGAACUAAUAAAACAUAUUUUUUGCAUAUUGUUUAGUUGGACCCCCCGACUACCUCUCGGUAAUAUCCUCUUAACAUAGGAAGUAUAAACUAAUAGCAAGUGCUAAUCUUUCCCAUUCUUACACAAGAAAGACCCAAGGAGAAGGUAUAUUUAGAAAUUGCAUAUCUAUGUUCCCAAACAAUAGAAAAUUCAAUAUAUGGCACUUCACUCUCUACUUUUCUUUCCCACAUUUUCUCAUAACCCAAAUAUGCUCACCUCUCAUUCUAAGAUCCAACCAUUGAAAAACAAUUACAAAAAUCCUAAUAAAAGAGAUAGAUCAUACUACAAUUACACUUUCUUACAAGAAAUUGAAGUGUAGAAGGUAUAACAAUUGAGUGAAACAAAUAAAAACCAACCUCCUUUAACACACAUGCUAAUGAAAUACUUGCAGAGACACUUUAAAUUUCUCCAGACUCCAAGAGAUAUUGAACAACAGCCUCGACACCUGCAGCGACGAGACCAUCACCUGAUACGAUAUAAUGCACAAACUCGGCACGGAAUCAAUAAGACUUGGUUGGAUUACAAAUUUUUUUUCAAACAUUCUCUUUUUCUUUCCAAUCACAAUAAAACAUCAGAAUAUUUUCAAAAAUAAAAAUCAGAAAUUCACCUUUCAAAAGCAAACACCCAUGAUUCUGAAAUUGGAGCUUUUAACCUAAAAGAUCAAAGAAGAUGAAGAAGAAAAAACCCAACCCCUGACUCGUUCGGAAAUAAGAGGAGAAACCACCGAAGGAUGAGGGCAUGAUUUAGGAUUUACUUACUUGAUUUUCCUAAAAAUCGAGAAUCAUCGGAGGGUGGAGGUUUGGUGUCAACGGUGGUAACUCGUCAAGUGGAUUGAAUCUUACAACAGCGACGUCGGCCAGGCAACCCUCUCACAGUCAGAUUGCUCUCCCUUCGGGGUCUUGCAUAGUUGCAAAUUUGCAAUUGUAGGUGGUGUCAUCUGUCGACGGUCUUGACAACAAUGGUGUUGUGCGAGUAUGGAAGAUUGGGAGCCUAAAUUGGUAAAGUAAAAAAUGCAUUUUAUAUGGAUUUACAUUGAUGAUAUGAGAUAGGAUUUGAUGGUAACAUAUUAAAUUAAAUUAAAUGAUUGAGUCCAAAAUGAUAUGGAUGGUAUGAGAUAGGAUUUAAUGAAAAAUUAAAUGUAUUUAUAUGGCAGAUUGAGAAUUAAAUCCACAAUUCUUAGUAGUAUUAUAAAUGGCUUUGAGUUAAAUGUGAAAAAGUUUUAUUAAUUUUUUAAGCUUAUUAAAUUUAUAUCUAUUUUUUAUAUAUAAUUUACAUAAUAUUUUUAUAAUUUUUUGAAAUUUCUAAUUAUCUUAUUUUGCGUGUUGCUUGAUAUUGAAUCAAGAUGUUGAGACCAACAUAUCUCGGGAACAUCUGAGUUAAUGAUCGAUAUCGCGACUUUGAACCAUGCUCGUCUCCAAUCCCUUAACAAUGAUGAAAAAUGAGGGCAACACAAUUACCCUUUUUAUUAUUAUCUGUUCAAAAUAAUACAUGCAUUAUAAUAUAAUUUUUUAAAAAUAUUUUACAAAAAAAUAUAUGUGGACCCCGUAUUUAGGCUCAUGCGUUUCCACUCGAUGGCGAGCUUGAUUUUAUUUUGAAAAUAAUUUUAUUUAUUAGAAAAUGACUUGGAGUCGCCACUUAUUUUUGUUUUAUUUUUAAAGGGUAAACAAAAUAAGAAAGAAAACCCUAAGUGUGACUCCUUAUUUUGGAAAAGGUGGUCUGUAAAAAAUUGGAUCGAGUUUGGGGGUCAGGUUACUUAUCGGGAAGGUACGGUAAAGACCGUAGCACCCCUUUAAGUCCCCAAAGUCGGGUCUCUACUAAUAAAAUGAAGUUGACGCAACAAUCAAUAAUAAAAACAAUGAAUACCGACAUGAUCACAUAUUGAAAGCCAAAACAUAUAAGGAUGAUGGUUAGAGUGAGAAAAAAUGCGUACCUGAUCAGCAAGCGGCAACGCGCUAUCAUAAAAUGAGGUUAGUGCACAAAUAAUGGACAUAAAACAUAGCUCACAAGCCACUGAAUCGAGUACAAAAUCAUCAGAUAUCACAAUUAAGUCAAAUUUAUUUUUCGGGGAAACAAUCACUGAUGUUGGGCCUUCACCAAAACCCAAUUUAUUCCUGUAUGAAUUAAUUUCGUAAAUUCCAUCACUUGGAAUUACAGAAUUUAAUUCACACUUAUUUUUAAAAUGUUUUAGAAAUCAUGGAAGUUAUGGAAAUCCAUGCCGAAGAAAAUGGCAACAAAAUUUUAUUAAAAAUGUGAUUUUUGGGACUUGAAAGCUCUAAGGAUGAAGAAUCUGGAAAAUAAUGCGAAAAAAAUGAGAUUUGGAAAAAAAUAUUUUUUUAAACCAAGAAUGGUGAAAAUGAGAAAAAAAAAAAAAAAGGAAGUGACACGUGGCAUAAGGGUGGCCAUGCAAAGGUGGCCAUGCACCAUUCCAAACAAAUCUAACCCCACUUGCUUUUAUUUGAUCCUGAUCUUAAUCCCAUAUUUUGGAUGGUUCCUUCUGGUCAUGUGGACCAUGUUCUUAGUUAAAAUAACAUGCUAUUGGGAUAAAACAUUUUAUAACUUUGACAUGUUCAAGAAUAAAAAAAAUGUCAAUGAUAAGGAAGGAGGACAAGAGGUGCAGCGACCCCAAGUUUAGAAUAGGUUUGGUCCAUAAGAAGUUAUUAACAAAAAAACAUAUUUUCUUCUUGUACUUUUGAAAGUGUUAUAUUUUGAGUAAUGAGAGUAUUUUUUUUUUCCUUUUUUCUUUUUCUUUAAUACAUUAUUGGUGAUUAUUCUUCGCUGGAAUACCCACAUGGCUAUUAGAUGUUUCAUUGCAAAUAUGGUUUUAUAUGAUAGAAUUAUGAUUGAACUUAUAAAACAUAUUUUCUGCAUAUUGUUUAGCUGGGCCUCCCAACUACCUCUCGGUAAUAUCCUCUUAACAUAGGAAGUAUAAACUAAUAGCAAGUGCUAAUAUUUCCCAUUCUUACACAAGAAAGACCCAAGGAAAAGGUAUAUUUAGAAAUUUCAUUUCUAUGUUCCCAAACAAUAGAAAAUUCAAUAUAUGGCACUUCACUCUCUACUUUUCUUUCCCACAUUUUCUCAUAACCCAAAUAUGCUCACCUCUCAUUCCAAGAUCCAACCAAAAUUGAAAAACAAUUACAAAAAUCCUAAUAAAAGAGACAGAUUAUACUACAAUUACACUUUCUUACAAGAAAUUGAAGUGCAUAAGGUAUAACAAUUGAGUGGAACAAAUAAAAACCAGCCUCCUUUAACACAUUUGCUAAUGAAAUACUUGCAGAGACACUUUAAAUUCCUCCAGACUCCAAAAGAUACUGAUCAACAGCCUCGGCACCUGCAGCGACGAGACCAACACCUGAUACGAUAUAAUGCACAAACUCGGCAUGAAAUCAGUAAGACUCAGUUAGAUUACAGAAAAAUUUUCAAACAUUCUUUUUUUCUUUCCAAUCAUAAUAAAACAUCAGAGUAUUUUCAAAAAUAAAAAUCAAAGAUUCCCCUUUCAAAAGCAAACACCUAUGAUUCUGAAAUUGGAGCUUUUAACCCAGAAGAUAAAAAAAGACGAAAAAGAAAAAACCCAACCCCUGACCCGUUCGGAAAUAAGAGGAGAAACCACCGAAUGAUGAGGGCAUGAUUUAGGAUUUACUUACCUGAUUUUCCUAAAAAUCGAGAAUCAUCGGAGGGUGGAGGUUUGGUGUCGGUGGUGGUAACUCGUCAAGUGGACUGAAUCUUACAACGGCGACGUCGGCCAGGCAACCCCUCAUAGUCAGAUUGCUCCCCAUCCGAGGUCUUUCAUAGUUGCAAAUUUGCAAUUGCAGGUGGUGUCAUCUAUCGAUAGUCUUGACAGCAACGGUGGUGUGCAAGGUGUGCGAGAUUGGGAGCCCAAAUUGGUAAAGUAAAAAAUGCAUUUUAUAUGGAUUUACAUUGAUGAUAUGAGAUAGGAUUUGAUGGUAACUUAUUAAAUUAAAUUAAAUGACUGAGUCCAAAAUGAUAUGGAUGGUAUGAGAUGGGAUUUAAUGAAAAAUUAAAUGUAUUUAUGUGGCAGAUUGAGAAUUAAAUCCCCAAUUCUUAGUAUUAUUAUAAAUAGCUUUGAGUUAAAUGUGAAAUUUUUUUGUUUUAUUAAGUUUUUAAGCUUAUUUAAUUUCUAUCUAUUUUUUAUAUAUAAUUUACAUAACAUUUUUAUAAUUUUAUGAAAUUUCUAAUUAUCUUAUUUUGCGUAUUGCUUGAUACUGAAUCAAGAUGUCGAGACUAACAUAUCUCGAGAUCAUCUGAGUCAAUGAUCGAUAUCGCGACUUUGAACCAUACUUGUCUCCAAUCCCUCAACAGUGAUGAAAAAUGAGGCCAACACAGUUGCCUUUUUUAUUAUUAUCAGUUAAAAAUAAUGAAUCUAUAUCCAUGUAUUAUCAAGAAUAAAUAAGUUUAUAUUUAUAAAUUUUUAUUAUAAAUUUAUAUUUACACAUAUCCUUGAUUUUCCUCAAGGUCUUAUUUUUAAUUGAUUACAAAGCAUUAGUACUUAUUUAAUUUAAAAUGUAUUAAAUAAAUAUUAAUAUUACAUAAAUAAAUAAAAGUUGAAUUUGAAUAAAAAUUAUAUAUAUAUAUAUAUAUAUCAUAUUCUACAUGAAUAUGAAUCUAUUAUUAAAGAUACAUGGUAAUAAGUGUUAAUAUUAUAUAAUCAAAUGAGAGUACAAAAAUUUUCUAUUAUUAACAAUACAUUAUUAUAAUAAUGAAAUACUUAAUAUCAUGUAAAUAAAUAAAAGUCAUCAUAAAUUUAAAUUUGAAUUUAUAUUUUUAAACCCAUCAAAUUUAUUUUUAUUUAUUUUUAAUUUUAAGAAUUUUUUCUCCACUUCAAAUAGCAAUAAUAGUGUUUAUUCAUACUAAUUAUACUUAAAAUUGAUGAAAUUUAUGAAAAAAGAAGAAGUAAAAACCCAUACCCUUCAAAUUUACAUUUGUUUUAAUUUUAAGAUUUUUUUUCUCUACUUCAAGUAAUAAUAAUAAUAAUGUUUAUUCAUACUAAUAGCAAUAAAAUUAACGAAAAUGAUGAAAAAUAAAAAAUAAAAAAUAAAUAGUAAAAACUUCAAAAUUUUAAUAAUAAUAAUAAUAUUUAUUCAUACUAAUAAACAAUUCUUCAUAAUCAUAACCUACUAAUUUCCAACAAUUAUAAUUGAAAUUGUUUUGAAUAAACAAUGUAAUUUGUAUUUGAAGUUGAAGAAAAUUGUGAAAAUUAAAUGGGAAGGGUAGGGUUUUAAUUUUUUAUUUUAUUUAAAAUUUUUCCCUCAUUAAUUAAUUAAUUAAUUAAUUAAUUUAUUUAUUUAUUUAUGAAUUUUGAGUGAAAUUAUUAUGAAUCAACAAUUUUAUUGAUAUUUAAAGUUUAAAAAAAAAAAAUCUAUGAAUUUUAAAUAAAUUUUGGAAGGUAUUUGUAAUGGGGUAUUUUUAUUUGCACUUUCCUAUUAUGUUGAAAUAUUGUUUGGUUUCAACAUUGUUUAUUCAAAAUAAUUUCAAUUAUAAUUAUUGGAAAUUAGGAGGUUAUGAUUAUGAAGAAUUGUUUAUUAGUAUGAAUAAACAUUAUUAUUAUUAUUAUUAUUAUUAUUUGAAGCAGAGAAAAAAAUUCAUAAUGCAUAGGGAGACCACAGAUUCUAUGGAUUCAACAAUUGAUAAACCUACUUGUUUAUGUUAUUGUCCCUAACCAUCUAUUCCAUUUUUGAAUUUACUUUUGGUGCAUUUAGUUUGUAACUUAUCUUAUGUUUUACUUAUUUUCAAUUUUUUUUUUUUAAGGUUAAGAUAGUAGUUUUUUUUUUUUUUAAAAAAAAAAAAAAAAACUCUUUUGAGCAAUACUUGAUUCUCUUGCUAUUCUUAUUUUUAACCAUUUUUUCAAUAAGAAAUUAUUUCUUUUUGGCGGAAUUGUAGGAAGUGGAUUGAAUCGGAAAAUUUAUUUGGGCCAGAUUGUGUUUCACUAGAGUCUUGAGAGAUGCAGCUUAGUGAGCUUAUAAUAAAAAGGUAGGCAUUUAAACGGACCAUACUGGUCCGAGUCAAUCUUAGUUUGGCCUAGUGGGCCUUCGGAAUUGCUCCAACAUGAAUUUCAAUGUCAACUUCAAUUUUUAAAAUUAAUAAUUAUACAUUUGUUUUAACUAUUUAUAACAAAUAUUAUCUUUGAAAAGUAAAUUUCAAUUAAUUUUUAUAUUUAAAUAAAAAUUAUUAUUAUUUUAAUUAUUUGUAUCCAAAUCAUACCCGAUAUAUUUGAUUUAUCUUACAAUGUUUCAACAUAAUAGGAAAUUGCAAAUAAAAAUACCCCAUUACAAAUACCUUCCAAAAUUUAUUUAAAAUUCAUAUAUAUUUAUAUAUAUAUAUAUAUAUAUAUAUAUAUAUAUAUAUGAAUUUUAAAUAUCAAUAAAAUUGUUGAUUCAUAAUAAUUUCACUUAGAAUUCAUAAAAAAAUACGAGGAAAAAAAUUAAAAUAAAAAUUUUUAAGAUCCCUACCCUUCCCAUUUAAUUUUAACAAUUUUUUUCUGAGCAUUGAUUUGUUGAUCGAUUAUCAAGGGCCACUCAUUUGCUUUGUUGGAUCUAACUCUCUGUAUGCAUGCUCUGUUUUGGCUUUGUUUGUUUUUUUUUUUUUUUUUUAUCUUUGCUUUCUCUUGUAAAUAUCUGAUGCAUUGUUCCUUCUCUGAACUUGAGAUAUAAAAAUCAUGCUCUUGUUCCUUGUGGAUUCCACCUUCUCCUAGCUCUUUGACAAUCCAUGAAAUAGAGCUAAGUUCAUACUCUAUUUUUAUGUUUUUAUUCUUCUUUGUUUGUUGUUGAUGGUGGGAUGAUAUUAUCAAUGGCUAAGUUGCUGGGAUUUGAGGAGUGAGGUUAUGGGGAAGUGAACUUAAUGGAGGAUUUCUAUGAUCAUAUCUAUGCUCCAAUCUAUUGGUUCAAAAUGUUGGCCAUGAGACUGCAUUGAAGUUUUGGUAUUUGGGAUCACUUUGCCAUCCGGGUUCAGUAAGCAACACAGUGGCAAUAAAGAUGCAUUGGUGUUAUUAAUUUGGGUGAAUAAGUUGGUUGUAUGAAUCGUGAAAGUUCAGGUUGUGCUUUGAGGAGAGUAUAUCUUGCAUCCUAUUAUUUUAAUUAUUAAUUUUGGAUGUUGAAAUAUGAUGUGAUCGCACUUCAUACAUCAUGGUUGUGUGAGGAAAAAGAAAGAUUGAAGAAAUGGUUGUGUGAAAUGGAAAUAAGAAUGAAAAGACCCUGGAGAGGGCAAAAAUGAAAAGAAAAAAAAAAUGAAAUGAUCCCAGAGAGGGCAAAUUAAGAAGGAAGUGAGAUCUUUAAGGUGAAAGUCCCAAAAGUUUACUUCGGGAAGACUCCGAAUGGGGAGUAUAUUUAGGUACAGAUGUGUAUCCUUUGGUGAAAGCUUGAGAACCAUAGUGCAUUGUGUGAUUGCGUGUAAGCAUUUGCAUCAUAAUUGCGUUUGGAAGAAGGAUUUGUAUUAUUUAUCAAGUGUAUGUUUGAAUAUAUUAUUCAAAACUAAAAUGACUUGUUUAUUUUGUAAAUUUAGAAUUGUUGAUAUACUAAACAUAUGAUUGAAUAAGGAAAAUGAUAAUUUUGAUUGUUUUAAAUUUAUAUGGUUAAGGUUUCUUUUAAUGUAUAUAUUGUAAAUGUAAUAUUGUAUUUUGACAUAUGGUUGUGUUAUUGACCUAGAAUUUCUAACCUAUUUGGGUGUAAAACACCCUACUGAGCAACGUGGAAAUGCCCAUCUCUUUAUUUUCUAAAAUUUUAGAUGCAAAUAUAGUUUCAGAGGGACCACAAGAAGUUCAAGAAGCGUUCUAGAAAGUAAAAGAACUAUAAUAAUAGUUGUUUUUAAAUUUAUAUUUCUCUUUUUAUAUGUACCAAUUUGAGUUAUAUGGACUUUUGUAUGUUAAAUUAUAUUUUGUUAAAUUGUAAAAUAUUUUUGGAAAUAUUUUUUUUAACUUAGAGAUUAUUGUAAAUAUUUCAGCUUUUGGGCAGAAAGAUGACUGGUGGAUUUAUUAUACUUGUGAAUAAGAGAUAGUGUGAUGGUUGGUUUUAGAAAAAUAAAAUAUUAUAGUAAAUCUUAACUUAAUAAGAGCAGGAUGAUCAUCAGCCUGCUCUUGAAGCAUCCAGGGAGGGCAUAUUCCAAGAAAGUUACGAAAAAUUGAGAUGAAGAAACUGCAGUGAAGCAAUUUCAUGGAAUUUUUGCUUGGAGACUCACGAAUUACAACCAAUUGCUCAGGGUUGGGAAAAUUGGAAUUGGUGUAAAUUGUGACUGGGUCUUUGUAAAACCCACAUCAUUUAGCUAGAAAAGCUUUGAAAAUACAUUUUAAUUUAAUUUAUAAUUUCUAUGUUAGAAUAUUAGAUCCAAUUCCUAAAAAGCUUAUCAGCCUUGUAUAUAUGGCUAAGCAGGUCAACUUCCCAAGCUCAAGCGCAUUAAGAAAUUCUCAGACCUACCUUUUUUUUAUAGGAUUUUUGGGAAGUUUUACAGCAAUUGAAAACAAAUCCUAAAAGGGUCGGGAAAUUAUUUGAAAAAAUAUGGCAGAUUUGGUCACAUAGGGGACAAAGAUGUGAUAAAGUUGGUACAACGCCCAAAAUUAAACUCUCAAUUAAUUUAAUUAAACAAAUAAUCAUAAAAGAGAUCUGUGUAGACUGUGUGGCAGGUUUUUAAUUUAUGAUUUUUGUUUUUUUAUUUAUACUUUUUGAAAAAGAAAAUUCCAGUGAAAUAUGUUCGUGUAGACUGUGUGGCAGGAUGCAGACUAAACAAAGAAAUUGACACGUGCUUGAAUCCGGCCCUACACAUAGCCCCAUUGGAAAACAGCGGUUUCAUCCUCCGUACUCUUUGGGCGUUAAGUGGGUUCACAAACCAAACAAUGGGCUGCCCCAACACAGCAACACUUAGAUUGAGGACAAACUAUGUAGGUGAAUACCCAAUUAUACCCACAUGAAUCAGCGGUCAAUCUUUCAAAUCUAAGGACAGAGUAGUCAUUCCAAUUCAAACCAAACAAAGCUAUGAGAACUGCUGGCCACAGCCUCUGGUUUCCCCAAAACUUUGGGCAGUAUUCCUCAAAGAAUCAAGUGGGCUAGAUUUAAUAACUUCGUCCACCAUGGUUAGAUUAUUGGGGGCUAGAGUCAAUAACUUCAUCCACCAUGGUUAGAUUAUUGGUAUCUCGAUGGGAGAAGUUGUUUUGAUGGAAAAACAUUGUAUUUUAUUAUUUUGUAAAUUUUAUCAUCACUCAUAUAUAUUAUUUUUUAUUUAAAAUUAAAUAAAAAAUUAAAAUUCUUAGAAAAUACGAAAAGAAAGUAUAUCACAAUCUUUAUUUUCUAUUCUAAAAUUAAAAAAUAAAAAUAAAAUUAUGAAGAAAAAAGUACAUUCCAACUUACAUUAAUUAAGGGAUGAUAUACUGUGCAAAUAAAAAAUAUAAAAAAUAAUUAAAGGUUAAAUAAAUCACUUAAUAAAUCGGUAGUAUGAGUUGAUGGUUUCAUUAUUAGACUAUAACAAAGAUUUUCAUUUUCUUUUUCUUUUUAAAUGCAUUUUAUGGUGGUGUAUAACUUUUUUGUAUAAGGGUUUUUAAAUUGUAAUAUAGAUUAUAUAUAUAGUUGUGUUUUGUCCUAAAUUCUGUCUUCCAAGUUUUCAACAUUAUAUAAAAAUCCCUAAAAUCACCUACUUUAUACGUUUUCUAACAUUAUAUAAAAAUCCCUGAAUUCACCUAUUAGAAAAAUGUUAUUUGGUGCGCUAUCAUUACCAUGGCCUCAACCUCGUGCAAAUAUAUCGAGUGGUUACUAAUAGUAAAAAAUAAAUAAUAAAAACAAAAUAUAUUCAUUAUUAUUAUUAUUAUUUUGUACUUUUACCAUCCAUUAUUCACAUCUUAGCAUAUGAUAGAAAAUACGAUAAAAGAUUAUUUAUGUUGUAUGAUUUUAAGUGAAAUGAUCAAAAUAUUUAAAGAAAAAAUUAAUAAUUCAUGAAGAAUUUUUGGUAAAUUUAUAAAUUUGUAAUAAAUAUUGAUAAAUGAUAAACAAAAUAGUUUUUAAAGUGGUUGCCGUAGUUAAACAUUGUAUCUUAUUAUGAUUUUCCACCUUCAAAACUUAAUAAUAAAAUUUCAUAACAAAUUUUUAUCUAUUUGAAACUUUUGAAAUGUGAAAUCUUUUCUUGGACAUUUUUAUAUAUACAUUUGUGAAUUUUAUCUUUAUUUUUUAUUUAUAAAAUUAAAGGAUAAAAUUAAAAUGUUAAAAAUAAAAGAGAAGUAUAUCCCAACUUGCAUCAAUUAAGAGAAGAUAUAUUAAGCACAUGAAGAAUGCAAAAAAAAUUAAUGAUAAAAUAAAUCACUUAUUAGAUAGUAUUUAAUGAUUUACAUUAUUAGAUUGUAGCAAUGAGUUAUAUUUUUAUUUUUGUGUAUAGGGGAUUUUAAAUUAUAAUAUAUAUUUUUUAUUAUUUUUGAGUUAGUUUUCUUUGUUGAUACAUAGUUUUUUUUUUUGUCUUAGAUAUUGUGUUAUCAGCAGUUUUAAAAGAAAUAAAAAUUAUUUAUCCCACAUCGAUUCAAAACUAAAAAUAUUAUAUAUAUUUAUUAAAACUUUGAUACCCUUAAAAAAUACAAGUACAACCAAUAAGCAAGCAUAGGGAUGGCAACGGGGCGGGUAUGGGACAUGCCACCCCUACCCCAUUUCCAUCCCAGUUAUAUAUUUUUUUGCCCAUCUCUGUCCCAAACUUGGGGCGAGGCGAGUUGGUGUCCCCCUUACCUGUUUACAAAAGAGCUGAUAAUCUCAUCCCCGUUCCAAAUGUAUUUUCGGGAAUUAUGCUUUUACAGAACAUUGGUCUCUGAAAUUUCAAUAAACGUUAUAUGGGUUAUCAUAAACACAUUUAAUCAAGCAUUUGUUGUGCAACAAAACUAAAAAUUGCACAUAUGAGAACAAAAUGUACAUAUCUACAAAUAAACAACCCAAAAAAUCUCAAAUCCAUAAAGCAAAACCAGAAAAAUAUGAAAAACAAGACAUUCUAACAAAGCCUCAAAACUUAGGGUUUUCUUACCUGGAAAUGAGGAAUCUAUAGAAACCCUAAUAAUUUGUUGUCUACGAAUUUGGUUUUUAGUUUUUAGAGCAAAAAUUGUGCUUUUAGGGUGAAAUGGGAAGAAGCAAUUUAGGAAGAAAUGAGAAAACGGGAAGAAAUGAGAAAACGAAAGGCCUCUUAUGAGCAAAAGAACCCUGAGCAAUUUAGGAAGAAAUGAGAAAACGGGAAGAAAUGAGAGCGAAAGCCCUCUAACUCUUUCACGAGCGAAAUAACCCUAAAACUUGAGGAAGAAAUGAUUAUAUAUGGAGGACUUUUUGGGUAUUUUGUAAUGACGUAAGGGUAAAUUGGUAAUUCACAUACGGGGUGGGGCAGAAACUGCAAAACCCAUCCCUGCCUUAAACCCGAUUCGGGUUUUUAUAUAUUCCCCAAACCCGUUUUAUACCCGAAUAGGAUAUUCUCAUACUCGUCCCAAUAGGGACGGGGCGGGUGACCCAAAUUACCCGGAAAAUUGUCAUUCCUAAGCAAGCAUUGAGUUAAAUCCUAAUCUCACAUUCCUGCUCGAAACUUUACACUCACAUAAAAACAACUCACCACUUGACUCGAGGGACUAUUCCGUAACUUCUCACUACCAACAACUAGGCACUAUUCAACCUCUCGCUCACUUAUAAAUUCACUCUCUACCUGCAUAUUCAAAAUGUAUCUCACUACUAUUCUACUCUACUAUUCUACUUUUCGUGGUUUCAUAUCUCACUAUUAUUCUACUUUUCGCGGUUUCAUAUCUCACUACUAUUCGCGUGUUCAAAGUGUGCAUAUUCAAACUGUAUCCCUCCCUGAAUUAAUUGUGAAUUAAUUUAGGCUUCAAAGUGUGAUGCUCUACAAUAUCCCUCCCAGUCAGGCCUCAAAGUAAGAACAACAACAUCUACAAUAUCUGCCAUGGCCACACAACCAAGGCAUGCGGUAUGCCGCAUUUUCUCAUGUCCUUUUCCCAUUUUGUUCCCUCUUUUCAUCUCCAUUUUGUUUUCAAUAUUCCCUUACCUUACUCAUAUUCUCUAAAAUUAGAUAAAAUUAUUAAUUUGAUCAUAUUUAUCUAACAUUUUUAAUUAGUACUACUAGUAUCUUAUUUUCAUAAAUCUAAUUGAAUUUCCUACUUAUUUAUUUAUUGUUUUCAUGACAAAACUUCAUCAGCUUUCAUAUCUUUCCUUACAAUUCUGAGUUCAACUGUCCUUGCGAAAUACCAAUAUGAGAAUGUUUUCCCAUUUGCCCAACACAACAUAGGUAUGCAAAUCUCCUUAUUUGCAUCAUUUAUAUAUUUCAUGAUGGUUGUGGUUUAUGAAAUCCUUGAUUCAGAUGGAACUAUCAAAAUUCAAGAAGAUGGAAGAUAUCUCCUUAUUUUGGGUCAUGUUCGGUUCUUAAGUGGAACAGCAGCUGCAACUUUGUUGAUCCUGAUCUUGAUCCCAUAUUUUGGAUGGUUCUUUCUGAUCAUGUGGACCAUGUUCUUAGUGAAAAUAGCAUGCUAUUGGGAUAAAACAUUUUAUAACUUUGACAUGUUCGAGAAUUAAAAAAAAUGCCAAUGAUAAGGAAUGAGGACAAGAGGAGCAACGACCCCAAGUUUAGAGUAGGUUUGGUCUAUAAGAGGUUAUUAGCAAAAAACAUAUUUUCUUCUUGUACUUUCGAAAGUGUUAUAUAAGUGUUAUAUUUUGAGUAAUGAGAGUAUUUUUUUUUUCCUUUUUUCUUUUUCUCUAAUACAUUAUUGUUGAUUAUUCUUCGCUGGAAUACCCACAAAGCUAUUAGAUGUUUCAUUGCAAAUAUGGUUUUAUAUGAUAGCAUUAUGAUUGAACUAAUAAAAUAAAUUUUCUGCAUAUUGUUUAGCUGGACCUCCCAACUACCUCUCGGUAAUAUCCUCUUAACAUAGGAAAUAUAAACUAAUAGCAAGUGCUAAUCUUUCCCAUUCUUACACAAGAAAGAACCAAGGAAAAGGUAUAUUUAGAAGUUGCAUUUCUAUGUUCCCAAACAAUAGAAAAUUCAAUAUAUGGUGCUUUACUCUCUACUUUUCUUUCCCACCUUUUCUCAUAACCCAAAUAUGCUCACGUCUCUUUCCAAGAUCCAACCAAAAUUGAAACACAAUUACAAAAAUCCUUGUAAAAAAGACAGAUCAUACUACAAUUACACUUUCAUACAAGAAAUUGAAGUGCAGAAAGUAUAAAAAUUGAGUGAAACAAAUAAAAACCAACCUCCUUUCACACACCUGCUAAUGAAAUACUUGUAGAGACACUUUAAAUUUCUCCAGACUCCAAGAGAUAUUGAUCAACAGCCUCGACACUUGCAGCGACGAGACCAGCAUCUGAUACGAUAUAAUGCACAAACUCGGCACGGAAUCGAUAAGACUCGGUUAGAUUACAAAUUUUUUUUCAAACAUUCUUUUUUUCUUUCCAAUCACAAUAAAACAUCAUAAUAUUUUCAAAAAUAAAAAUAAGAGAUUCCCCUUUCAAAAGCAGACACCCAUGAUUCUGAAAUUGGAGCUUUUAACCCAGAAGAUCAAAGAAGAUGAAGAAGAAAAAACCCAACCCCUGACCCGUUCGAAAAUAAGAGGAGAAACCACCGAAGAAUGAGGGCAUGAUUUAGGAUUUACUUACUUGAUUUUCCUAAAAAUCAAGAAUCAUCGGAGGGUGGAGGUUUGGUGUCGGCGGUGGUAACUCGUCAAGUGGACUGAAUCUUACAACGGCGACGUCGGCCAGACAACCCCUUCACAGUUAGAUUGCUUCCCCUCCGGGGUCUUGCAUAGUUGCAAAUUUGCAAUUGUAGGUGGUGUCAUCUGUCGGCGGUCUUGACAACAAUGGUGGUGUGCGAGUGUGGGAGAUUGGGAGCCCAAAUUGGUAAAGUAAAAAAAUGCAUUUUAUAUGGAUUUACAUUGAUGAUAUGAGAUAGGAUUUGAUGGUAACAUAUUAAAUUAAAUUAAAUGAUUGAGUCCAAAAUGAUCUGGAUGGUAUGAGAUGGGAUUUAGUGAAAAAUUAAAUGUAUUUAUAUGGCAGAUUGAGAAUUAAAUCCACAAUUCUUAGUAUUAUUAUAAAUAGCUUUGAGUUAAAUGUGAAAAAAAUUUAUUAAUUUUUUAAGCUUAUUAAGUUUAUAUCUAUUUUUUUUAUAUAUAAUUUACAUAAUAUUUUUAUAAUUUUUUUGAAAUUUCUAAUUAUCUUAUUUUGCGUAUUGCUUGAUAUCGAAUCAAGAUGUCGAGACCAACAUAUCUCGAGAUCAUCCGAGUCAAUGAUCGAUAUCGCGACUUUGAACUAUGCUCAUCUCCAAUCCCUCAAUAGUGAUGAAAAAUAAGGGCAACGCAAUUACCUUUUUUAUUAUUAUCAGUUCAAAAUAAUACAUGUAUUAUAAUAUAAUUUUUUUAAAAUAUUUUACAAAAAAAUAUAUGUGGACCCCGUAUUUAGGCUCAUGCGCUUCCAUUCGAUGGCAAACUCGAUUUUAUUUUGAAAAUGAUUUUAUUUAUUAAAAAAUGACUUGGAGUCGCCACUUAUUUUUGUUUUAUUUUUAAAGGGUAAAGAAAAUAAGAAAGAAAACCCUAUGUGUGACUACUUAUUUUGAAAAAGGUGGUCUGUGAAAAACCGAAUCAGGUUCGGGGGUCAGGUUACUUAUUGGGAAGGUACAGUAAAAACCGUAGCACCCCUUUAAGUUCCCAAAGUCGGGUCUCUACUAAUAAAAUGAAGCUAACACGACAAUGAAUAAGAAAAAUAAUGAAUAUUGACAUGAUCACAUAUUGAAAGCCAAAACAUAUAAGGAUGAUGGUCAGAGUGAGAAAAAAUGCAUACCUGAUCAGCAAGCGGUAACGCGCUAUCAUAAAAUGAGGUUAGUGCACAAAUAAUGGACAUAAAACAUAGCUCACAUGCCACUGAAUCGAGUACAAAAUCAUCAGAUAUCACAAUUAAGUUAAAUUUAUUUUUCGAGGAAACAAUCACUGAUGUUGGGCCCCCACUGUAGACCCUCAAAUUUGUCCCUUUAGCACAUGUCUUUGAGUUCGUUUUCAGUACUUCAAAAUAGUUCCUUGGUGGCCCAUGGCUACUCAUACCACUUACCUUUUUCUGAGUCACCUCGGAGAUUUUGGUCGAGGGAUUAUCUGACCCAUUAUUGUGACCCUUGGCAACCCUAUUUUAGACUUAGGCUUUUCGUUCAUUUUUAGGAUAGCUUUUAGGGUAGCUCAUUUAGGCACCCUAGGCCCACUUAGGCACUUAGGCCCAUUUAGGCACCCUAGAUCCACUUAGGCACUUAGGCCCAUUAGGUCCACCUUGGCCCACUUAGUCUCACCUUGGCCCAUUAGUCUUUGUUUUUAGUAUGACUUAUAUGGUUGUAUGACGCAUUUAUCUCAUUUACUUAUUUAUUUAUCUUUAUUUUUUAUUAUUACUAACCACUUUUAUUUGAUCAUUUAUUAUGGUUUUAUUUAUUCAUUUGUUUUGAUUUAUUUUCAUUAUUAUCAAUCAUUUUUUAGUUAUUUAUUUAUUUAGUAUUCUUACUUAUUUAUUUAUUAUCUUGUUAUUUAUUCAUUUAUCUAUUAUUAUCAUUUUAUAUUCUCCGAUUUAUUUAUUUAGUUAUUUAUUUAUUUUAUUAUUUAUUAUCUAUUUUAUUAUUUAUUUAUUUAUUUAAUUUAAUAAUUUGAAAUUUUUAUGGAAGAAGUCUACCAUUGGAUAAGUUUUUGAAAACGGUAAAACUCUUUAAAUGAUAUGCAUGGAUUGUGGGUGAUAUGCGUGGAUUGGUAUUGUUUGAAAUUAAAAAAAAAUGAGUUUUUCCGGUGCAUAAGAUAAAAUCUGGAGGGAGGAAGACUCCUCACGUAGGAGGACUAUUAUUUGCUAUAAAAAAGCUCUAACAGAUAGGUAUAAAGGGAGGACUUUCGGCACAUAGAAAAAAAAAAAAAAAAGAGAGAGAGGCGGAAAAAUUGGAUUUUCAGAGAAGACUUUCUAGUGAGAAGCUGUCGGUGGAGAAGAAGGAGAGGGCGGUGGAAGAAAUCUCAGACGACAAACCAGUGGGAUCUCCUUGCCAGAGGAGAGCGUUCCUCGGUAUGUUUGUUGAGAACUCCUUACUUAUUGAUAUUAUCACUUUGUUCUGUAUCCUCUCUGGUUAGUGUUCUUUUACCAUUGUUUUUUUGUUAGGAUAUGAAAGUGAUAUUGGUCUUCUCUUCUCUCAUAUUCUUUUAGUUUCAUCUAAUCAUAAAUCUGAACGUAGUCUCAAUCACACCACUGGUCUGCGAAUCUAUCGACUUCAGAAAGAAAUGGGAUCCCAUUUAAUGUCUAGUUUCCUUGUUUAUUUUGUUAUGGAUAUCCUGUAUUUUGUUUCGUUUACUACUCUACAUCUAGUAUCCCGAUCCAUGUCCCUGUUGUUGGCUCACAUCUUUGAAUUUACUCCGGACGUUUGGUUUCGUGUUCUGAUUUGCACUUGAGAGAGAGGGUUCAGUACAUGACAAGCCAUAUAUCGUGUUAAAUGGAAAUUUGGAUUUUUUUUUCACUGGAGAUUUUAGAUUUCAAAAAUUGGUUUGCAUAGGAACUCUUCCCGAAGUCGGACCUUCGACAAGCCAUUCAAUUCCUAGUCAUUCCUAAUCUCUAGCAUUCCUCUAUCUGAAUUUCAGAUAGAUUUGGUUACCCACUUCCCGAAAACACUAGAAACUGAGUCCACUCCUUUUAGGUCACUGCUUUCUCAUCAUUCGCGGGAUGGGUCUUCCACAUCUGCUUGUGUUCCUGUUCCUGACAUGAAGACCCUAACUAGUUCGUUGCGAUCUUCUCAUUUUGAAGCCCUAGAUGAUCAAAGUUUGGUUCCUACUUCGCCAUGGUCUUGGAACAGAGAAACUAAACCACCAUUCUCUUCAUACCUUCCUCGAGAAAUUGAACCCACUAUGGUGGGUGCUGGGCUUGUAAAUCUAGGCAACACAAUGCUUUCUUAAUGCAGUGCUCCAAUGCUUCACGCACACUGUCCCCCUUGUCCAGAGCCUUCGUUCUUGCAAUUAUGCCAUGCCUUGUCAUAGUUUGUGUUUCUUCCAUUGGUUUCUGUUUAUAUUAAAGAAUGAUCCGACUUUGUUAGUUCCAUUGUAAUAUCCAGAAGUUCCUUCUUCUUUCUUCCAUGUUCAAGCCUGUUGAAAGUGCAUGUAUGAUACAUGGCUUUGAAUGAUUGCCCAUCUACGUGUUUCCCUUCCCCUUGCCAUCCUUUUGCUAUAUCUUAUAGCCUUUGUUCAUGGUUUGUGGGUCGGUUUGCAAGAACGUCUUAUCGUUUGCAAUGAUUAGCACCCGAGCCAUCCUCAUUUGGCUGAUCAAUGUCACUGGGGAAGUCCUUGGAGGGCGGUUGCUACUCUUGAUAUUACAGGUGAUAUGGUGGUAUUUGUGGGUUUUGUUGAGGGUAUUUGGGUUCAGAUCGAAACUGCCCAUCUGAGGUCCUGGAUGAAAGAAUCAAUCCUGUGUCAGUUGUUUGUCUCAAUUAUCUAUAAGAUAGACAAGUGUCCUUAUUAGCAACAGGUGAAAGGAUGGGUAUGCAGAUAGAUCCAAGCCAAGUUGGAGAGUGGUGUCGGACACGCGCUUGAUGAAGGAAACAUUGAGGUUCUUGGAUAUAAACAUGGUCCUACCAUCAGAUCUGAUGUGACAACCAAUAUGUUGUGUCACAAGGAAGAAAUAUUUGAACCAAUACUUCUCUGCAUGGCCAUGCGAAUUCCGAGCAUAUAUACUCCUCGACUGGGACGACGUUCAUAAUGUUGACCACGUGUGAACUAUUUUUUGAAGGUGGGAAUUUUGCGAAUUCAUUUCAGCGCCCAAUUUUGUGUGUAUUUGAUCAGACUUUGGGCUAUCAGUUGGAAUCCAGCACGACUUUAGUUAUCGGCCGCUCGUUCACGAUGUGCUAGAUUGGAAGCUUAAUAGGUUGGAGUAUGGGGCAGACCUCUAGCACUGCUAGGUUCGCCUGACACAGGUGGACAGAUUGCUUAUAUGCUGGAUCAAGUGCGUGCCUUGGAAAAUGAGAUGCUUCUUAAGAUACAAAAGCAAGGACUUGAUGUCAUUCCUAAAAUUCUCAUAGUUACCCGACUUAUACCUGAUGCAAAGGGGACCACACGCAAUCAGAGACUUGAAAGAAUCAGUGGUACAGAACAUACACAUAUUUUUUGAGUGCCAUUUAGAAGAGAAAAUAGUAUUCUGCGGAAAUGGAUCUCAAGGUUUGAUGUAUGGCCAUAUCUGGAAACCUUUGCAGAGGAUGUAUCAAAUGAAAUUGCUGCCGAGCUACAGGGAGUUCCAGAUCUGAUCAUUGGCAACUAUAGUGAUGGGAAUCUUGUUGCAUCUUUACUAUCUUAUAAGCUGGGAAUUACGCAGUGCAAUAUUGCUCAUGCAUUGGAGAAAACAAAAUAUCCAGAGUCUGAUAUAUAUUGGAGAAAAUUUGAGGAUAAGUACCAUUUCUCAAGCCAAUUUACUGCUGAUCUAAUUGCAAUGAACAAUGCAGAUUCUAUAAUCACCAGUACAUACCAAGAGAUUGCCGGAAGCAAGAAUCAUGUUGGACAGUAUGAGAGCCACACAGCCUUCACUCUUCUAGGGCUGCACCGAGUUGUUCAUGGCAUUGAUUUUUUAUCCCAAGUUUAAUAUCAUAUCUCCAGAAGCAGACAUGCCCAUAUACUUCUCAUACUCAGAAAAAGAAAUGGUUGAAAGUCACAUGCAGAAACUCGUCCAUAUGGAAAACUUGAAAAUAUGCACAUAUUCCUUUUUGAUCCUUGCUGCCAGUUUUCACUCAACCACUGACCCUUCAACUUCAAAAAUUCAUUUUGACAACUUUAGGAUAUCUGUAAAAAAUUUCCAGAAAUUUUAUGACUUUCCUCACUUCUUGAACUUGAAUUUGAGGUUUUGUUUGAGUUAGAAAGUCAUUCUGAGAUAGAAGAUAUAAAUGAGUCUUUAGGGGGACUCCGUUUUCACAUAGUUCUGGACACCCAAGAUCUUUUGGAAAAAAUAAAAUACUAGAGGACUUUUUAAAAUUGAUUCAAUAUUUUUUCUCAAUUAUGAGCUUCUUGAAAUUGAUUUUAGACACAUAAAAUAUUAGAAAAUAUGCAUUUUUGAGGGAGAUAUGAUUUUUCAAAGUUGUGCCUACUGCGCAUGCUGGAGUUUGUACAUCUGAUUACAUUUAUAGUUUUAAAAAUAUUUUUGAGUACUAUUCGACCCCGAAUUUAUUUUUUAUGUGAUAUAGACAUUUUGAAAUAUGUGUGUGAUUUUUUUUUAUGAUUUUAUAGGAUCAUUUAUUAUUUUAAAAAAAUUCAUUUAUGCACGUCACUUUUCCUUAUCUAAUCUGGACUUUGUAGAACCUUUAGGUGCCUUUGCAAUAAUCUGUCUUUUGAAUGAGUGUUUGGCUUUUGGUAUGUUAAUCUAGGUGUGUAGGAGUUGUUUCCUGAAACUUUUUGUAAUCAAAUUCCACUCUAAGCCAUUUUUUUAGAAAUUGUUUUACGAUGCUUCAUUUUCUAACCGCAUGCUGAUGGUUUUAUACCUUACUUGAAAUUGUUAUUAUUUUUGGAGUCAUUUAAUUUGUCUUAGCUCAAUUUUGGCUUUGAAACUGUAUAUUAGACAUAAUGGAUAUUUCAUAUAAUUUAUGCUUGCCCUAACCAAUCUAGCAUUUUUCGAGGAAUCUUAUAAAAUAUACUUGCUAUCCAGGUACGUUCUCUAUCCUCUAAUUCCAAAAUUCUAUGAAAAUGCAUGCUAUCAUGAGCUAUAUCCAUGCUUUGAUUUAAUCCUUGGGUGCUUAGAUGUAUGUUUGACUUGCUUGGAUAAAAUGCAUGUUGUGUGCUAUAUCUCUAUACUAACUUUGAUGUCUUGUGAUAGCGCUUGAAAAGUCGUUCAGGUACGUACUUCGAUUUUCUCUCAUGGUUUGUUUUCUUAUUAGGCAUGCAAUAUUUGAAAUCACCUAGUCUACUUAGGUAUCCAUGAUCAACCAUUUAAUUGCCACGCUUCCCUUAACUUAGUCAGUAGAGACCUUUUUAGGGCUUAGAGGGGUGCUACCUUCUAGAGGUACCUUCCCAAUAAGUAACCUGAUCCCCAGACUUAGACUCGGGUUUCUCAAAGACAUGCUUUUUCCAAAACUAUGGAGUCACUUUUUAGGGUUUUUCUUUCUUGUUUUAUUUUCCCUUCAAAAUAAAAAUAAAAUAGGUGACGACUCCAACUUUUUUUUUUUCAAAAAUCAAUUUUUCACAAAUAAAAAAGCGAGUCUCGCCGAUCGAGUGGGGGCGCACAUGAAAACUGCGGGUCCACACCCACCAAAACCCAAUUUAUUCCUGCAUGAAUUAAUUCCGUAAAUUCCAUCACUUGGAAUUACAUAAUUUAAUUCACACUUAUUUUUAAAACGUUUUAGAAAUCAUGGAAGUUAUGGAAAUACCUGCCGAAGAAAAUGGCAACAAAAUUUUAUUAAAAAUGUGAUUUUUGGGACUUGAAAGCUCUAAGGAUGAAGAAUCUGGAAAAUAAUGCGAAAAAAAUGAGAUUUGGAAAAAAAUAUUUUUUUAAACCAAGAAUGGUGAAAAUGAGAAAAAGAAAAAAGAAAAAAAAAGGAAGUGACAUGUGGCAUAAGGGUGGCCAUGCUAAGGUGGCCAUGCACCAUUCCAAACAAAUCUAACCCCAUUUGCUUUUAUUUGAUCCUGAUCUUAAUCCCAUAUUUUGGAUGGUUCCUUCUGGUCAUGUGGACCAUGUUCUUAGUGAAAAUAGCAUGCUAUUGGGAUAAAACAUUUUAUAACUUUGACAUGUUCAAGAAUAAAAAAAAAAGUCAAUGAUAGGGAAGGAGGACAAGAUGUGUAGCGACCCCAAGUUUAGAGUAGGUUUGGUCCAUAAGAGGUCAUUAGCAAAGAACAUAUUUUCUUCUUGUACUUUCGAAAGUGUUAUAUUUUGAGUAAUGAGAGUAUUUCUUUUCCUUUUUUCUUUUUCUCUAAUACAUUAUUGGUGAUUAUUCUUCGCCAGAAUACCCACAAGGCUAUUAGAUGUUUCAUUGCAAAUAUGGUUUUAUAUGAUAGAAUUAUGAUUGAACUUAUAAAACAUAUUUUCUACAUAUUGUUUAGCUGGGCAUCCCAACUACCUCUCGGUAAUAUCCUCUUAACAUAGGAAGUAUAAACUAAUAGCAAGUGUUAAUCUUUCCCAUUCUUACACAAGAAAGACCCAAGGAGAAGGUAUAUUGAGAAAUUGCAUAUCUAUGUUCCCAAACAAUAGAAAAUUCAAUAUAUGACACUUCACUCUCUACUUUUCUUUCCUACAUUUUCUCAUAACCCAAAUAUGCUCACCUCUCAUUCUAAGAUCCAACCAUUGAAAAACAAUUACAAAAAUCCUAAUAAAAGAGACAGAUCAUACUACAAUUACACUUUCUUACAAGAAAUUGGAGUGUAGAAGGUAUAACAAUUGAGUGAAACAAAUAAAAACCAACCUCCUUUAACACACCUGCUAAUGAAAUACUUAUAGAGACACUAUAAAUUCCUCCAGACUCCAAAAGAUACUGAUCAACAGCCUCGGCACUUGCAGCGACGAGACCAACACCUGAUAUGAUAUAAUGCACGAACUCGACACAGAAUCGGUAAGACUCAGUUAGAUUACAGAAAAAUUUUCAAACAUUCUUUUUUUCUUUCCAAUCAUAAUAAAACAUCAGAAUAUUUUCAAAAAUAAAAAUAAGAGAUUCCCCUUUCAAAAGCAAACACCCAUGAUUUUGAAAUUGGAGCUUUUAACCCAGAAGAUCAAAGAAGACGAAGAAGAAAAAACCCAAUCCCUGACCUGUUCAGAAAUAAGAGGAGAAACCACCGAAUGAUGAAGACAUAAUUUAGGAUUUACUUACCUGAUUUUCCUAAAAAUCGAGAAUCAUCGGAGGGUGGAGGUUUGGUGUCGGCGGUGGUAACUAGUCAAAUGGACUAAAUCUUACAACGGGGACGUCGGCCAGGCAACCCCUCACAGUUAGAUUGCUCCUCCUCCGGGGUCUUUCAUAGUUGCAAAUUUGCAAUUGCAAGUGGUGUCAUUUGUCUGCGGUCUUGACAGAAAAGGUGGUGUGCAAGGUGUGGGAGAUUGGGAGCCCUAAUUGGUAAAGUAAAAAAUGCAUUUUAUAUGGAUUUACAUUGAUGAUAUGAGAUAGGAUUUGAUGGUAAAUUAUUAAAUUAAAUUAAAUGAUUGAGUCCAAAAUGAUAUGGAUGGUAUGAGAUAGGAUUUAAUGAAAAAUUAAAUGUAUUUAUAUGGCAGAUUGAGAAUUAAAUCCCCAAUUCUUAGUAUUAUUAUAAAUAGCUUUGAGUUAAAUGUGAAAUUUUUUUGUUUUAUUAAUUUUUUAAGCUUAUUUAAUUUCUAUCUUUUUUUUUAUAUAUAAUUUACAUAACAUUUUUAUAAUUUUAUGAAAUUUCUAAUUAUCUUAUUUUGUGUAAUGCUUGAUACCGAAUCGAGAUGUCAAGACCAACAUGUCUCGGGAUCAUCUGAGUCAAUGAUCGAUAUCGCGACUUUGAACCAUACUCGUCUCCAAUCCCUCAACAAUGAUGAAAAAUGAGGCCAACGUAGUUGCCUUUUUUAUUAUUAUCAGUUAAAAAUAAUGAAUCUAUAUCCAUGUAUUAUCAAGAAUAAAUAAGUUUAUAUUUAUAAAUUUUUAUUAUAAAUUUAUAUUUACACAUAUCCUUGAUUUUCCUCAAGGUUUUAUUUUUAAUUGAUUACAAAGCAUUAGUACUUAUUUAAUUUAAAAUGUAUUAAAUAAAUAUUAAUAUUAUAUAAAUAAAUAAAAGUUGAAUUUGAAUAAAAAAUUUAUAUAUAUAUAUAUAUAUAUAUAUAUAUAUAUAUAUAUAUAUAUAUAUAUAUAUAUAUAUAUAUAUAUAUAUAUCAUAUUCUACAUGAAUAUGAAUCUAUUAUUAAAGAUACAUGGUAAUAAGUGUUAAUAUUAUAUAAUCAAAUGAGAGAGUACAAAAAUGUUCUAUUAAUAACAAUACAUUAUUAUAAUAAUAAGAUACUUAAUAUCAUGUAAAUAAAUAAAAGUCGUCAUAAAUUUAAAUUUGAAUUUAUAUUUUAAAACCCAUCACAUUUAUUUUUAUUUUUUUAAAAUUUUAAGAAUUUUUUCUCCACUUCAAAUAGCAAUAAUAGUGUUUAUUCAUACUAAUUAUACUUAAAAUUGAUGAAAAUUAUGAAAAAAGAAAAAGAAGUAAAAACCCAUACCCUUCAAAUUUAUAUUUGUUUUAAUUUUAAAAUUUUUUUCUCUACUUCAAGUAAUAAUAAUAAUAAUGUUUAUUCAUACUAAUAACAAUAAAAUUAAUGAAAAUGAUGAAAAAAAAAAUAGUAAAAACUUCAAAUUUGUAAUAAUAAUAAUAUUUAUUCAUACUAAUAAACAAUUCUUCAUAAUCAUAACCUACUAAUUUCCAACAAUUAUAAUUGAAAUUAUUUUGAAUAAACAAUGUAAUUUGUAUUUGAAGUUGAAAAAAAUUGUGAAAAUUAAAUGGGCAGGGUAGGGCUUUAAUUUUUUUUAUUUUGUUUUAAAUUUUUCCCUCAUAAAUUUAAUUUAAUUUAAUUUUUUUUUUAUGAAUUCUCAGUGAAAUUAUUAUGAAUCAACAAUUUUAUUGACAUUUAAAGUUUUAAAAAAAAAUCUAUGAAUUUUAAAUAAAUUUUGGAAGGUAUUUGUAAUGGGGUAUUUUUAUUUGCACUUUCCUAUUAUGUUGAAACAUUGUUUGGUUUCAACAUUGUUUAUUCAAAAUAAUUUCAAUUAUAAUUAUUGGAAAUUAGGAGGUUAUGAUUAUGAGGAAUUGUUUAUUAGUAUGAAUAAACAUUAUUAUUAUUAUUUGAAGCAGAGAAAAAAUUCAUAAUGCAUAGGGAGACCACAGAUUCUAUGGAUUCAACAAUUGAUAAGCCUACUUGUUUAUGGUAUUGUCCCUAACCAGCUAUUCCAUUUUUGAAUUUACUUUUGGUGCAUUUAGUUUGUAACUUGUCUUAUGUUUUACUUAUUUUCAAUUUUUUUUUAAGGUUUAGAUAGUUUUUUUUUUUUUUUAUUUAGAAAAAAAACCUCUUUUGAGCCAUAACUUGAUUCUCUUGCUAUUCUUAUUUUUAACCAUUUUUUCAAUGAGAAAUUAGGUCUUUUUGGCGGAAUUGUAGGAAGUGGAUUGAAUCGAAAAAUUUAUUUGGGCCAGAUUGUGUUUCACUAGAGUCCUGAGAGAUGCAGCUUAGUGAGCUUAUAAUAAAAAGAUAGGCAUUUAAACGGACCAUACUAGUCUGAGUCAUUCUUAGUUUGGCCUAGUGGGCCUUCAGAAUUGCUCCAACAUGAAUUUCAACGUCAACUUCAAUUUUUAAAAUUAAUAAUUAUACAUUUGUUUUAACUAUUUAUAACAAAUAUUAUCUUUGAAAAGUAAAUUUCAAUUAAUUUUUAUAUUUAAAUAAAAAUUAUUAUUAUUUUAAUUAUUUGUAUCCAAAUCAUACUCAAUAUAUUUGAUUUAUCUUACAAUGUUUCAACAUAAUAGGAAAGUGCAAAUAAAAAUACCCCAUUACAAAUACCUUCCAAAAUUUAUUUAAAAUUCAUAGAUUUUUUUUUUUUUUUUUACUUUAAAUAUCAAAAAAAUUGUUGAUUCAUAAUAAUUUCACUUAGAAUUCAUAAAAAAAUAGGAGGAAAAAAAAUUAAAAUAAAAAAUUUUAAGAUCCCUACCCUUCCCAUUUAAUUUUAACAAUUUUUUUUUUCUGAGCAUUGAUUUGUUGAUCGGUUAUCAAGGGCCACUCAUUUGCUUUGUUGGAUCUAACUCUUUAUAAGCAUGCUCUGUUUUGGCUUCGUUUUUUUUAUCUUUGCUUUCUCUUGUAAAUAUCUGAUGCAUUGUUCCUUCUCUGAACUUGAGAUAUAAAAACCAUGCUCUUGUUCCUUGUGGAUUCCACCUGCUCCUAGCUCUUUGACAAUCCAUGAAAUAGAGCUAAGUUCAUACUCUAUUUUUAUGUUUUUAUUAUUCUUUGUUUGUUGUUGAUGGUGGGAUGAUAUUAUCAAUGGCCAAGUUGCUGGGAUUGGAGGAGUGAGGUUAUGGGGAAGUGAACUUAAUGGAGGAUUUUUGUGAUCAUAUCUAUGCUCCAAUCUAUUGGUUCAAAAUGUUGGCCACGAGACUGCAUUGAAGUUUUGGUAUUUGGCAUCACUUUGCCAUCUGGGUUCAGUAAGCAACACAGUGGCAAUAAAGAUGCAUUGGUGUUAUUAAUUUGGGUGAAUAAGUUGGUUGUAUGAAUUGUGAAAGUUCAAGUUGUGCUUUGAGGAGAGUAUAUCUUGCAUCCUACUAUUUUAAUUAUUAAUUUUGGAUGUUGAAAUAUGAUGUGAUCGCACUUCAUAUGCAUCAUGGUUGUGUGAGGAAAAAAAAAGAUUAAAGAAAUGGUUGUGUGAAAUGGAAAUAAGAAUGAAAAGACCCUGGAUAGGGCAAAAAUGAAAAGAAAAGAAAAGAAAAAAAAAUGAAAUGAUCCUAGAGAGGGCGAAUUAAGAAGGAAGUGAGAUCUCUAAGGUGAAAGACCCAAAAGUUUACUUCGGGAAGACUCCAAAUGGGGAGUAUAUUUAGGUAUAGACGUGUAUCCUUUGGUGAAAGUUUGAGAACCACAAUGCAUUGUGUGAUUGCGUGUAAGCAUUUGCAUCAUAAUUGCAUUUGGAAGAAGGAUUUGUAUUAUUUAUCAAGUGUAUGUUUGAAUAUAUUAUUCAAAACUAAAUGACUUGUUUAUUUUCUAAAUUUAGAAUUGUUGAUAUACUAAACAUAUGAUUGAAUAAGGAAAAUGAUAAUUUUGAUUGUUUUAAAUUUGUAUGGUUGAGGUUUCUUUUAGUGUAUAUAUUGUAAAUGUAAUAUUAUAUCUUGACAUAUGAUUGUGUUAUUGACCUAGAAUUUCUAACCUAUUUGGGUGUAAAACACCCUACUAAGCAACGUGAAAAUACUCACCCCUUUAUUUUCUAAAAUUUUUAGAUGUAGAUAUAGUUUCAGAGGGGCCACAAGAAGUUCAAGAAGCGUUCUAGAAAGCAAAAGAACUAUAAUAAUAGUUGUUUUUAAAUUUAUAUUUCUCCUUUUACAUGUACCAAUUUGAAUUAUAUGGGCUUUUGUAUGUUAAAUUAUAUUUUGUUAGAUUGUAAAACAUUUUUGAAAAUAUUUUUUUUGACUUAGAGAUUAUUGUAAAUAUUUGAGCUUUUGGGCAAAAAGAUGACUGGUGGAUUUAUUAUACUUGUGAAUAAGAGAUAAUGUGAUGGUUGGUUUUAGAAAAAUAAAAUAUUACAGUAAAUCUUAACUUAAUAAAUUUAUUUAAAAUUAGACGUUUUAUUAUUUAAAAAAAAAAAGUUUCAAAGUGUUUUGAUUGAUUGUUAGUGUGGAUAGGAAUAACCCUUAGGGUCAAACCCUUGGGCCGACUAUGUAGGUGAAUACCCAAUUGUACCCACAUGAAUCAGCCGUCAAUCUUACAAAUCCAAGGGCAAAGUAGUCAUUCCAAUUCAAACCAAACCAAGCCAUGAUUCAUGAAAACUGCUGGCCACAGCUCCUGGUUUUUCCCAAACUUUGGGCACCAAAUCCAAACCCAUCUCUUGCUAUAUAACCAACCCACCUUCACCUCAUCUUCUUCAUCACAACACAACUACCUUGAUUUAUAGAGAGAUCUUCUAUAUCCAUUCACUACUCAGAAUCACCUCUUUCUAUUGUUGAUUGUUGUUUGGGUUUCGGAGAAAGAAAAUUAAGAAGAUGAGUCAUAUGGGGAAAGCUUGGUUAGUGGCAGCAAGUGUGGGAGCAGUGGAGGCACUCAAGGAUCAGGGCUUCUGCAGAUGGAACUACACUCUGAGGUCUAUUCACCAGCAUGCCAAGACCAACCUCAGGUCCUUUGCUCAGGCCAAGAAGCUCUCUUCUUC
Molecule: long non-coding RNA, 47846 nt
Filed under: Vitis vinifera (wine grape)
Lineage: Eukaryota; Viridiplantae; Streptophyta; Magnoliopsida; Vitales; Vitaceae
Description: long non-coding RNA (VVIN_LNC003761)
Source: RNAcentral